GCGAACCAGCACGAGUGUAAAUACAUUCUAAACUACCUGGAGUACUCGUCUCGAAGAAACUGCGACAGUACAAUUUUCUAACGGCUCCUAGAGCUAAAUCAGGUAGUUAAAACUGGUGACAGGUCCAAAUCGCAGGUUUUCUCCUAAUUCAAUUUUCAAGUCCAACAUGUAUAAUCUACUUAAUUUAUAAAAUAUGCUCCAAAAUUCAGAUUUCACAAUCUACAUAUAGUCCAUGAAUUUGAGCUAACACAAUUUACCGAAAUCAAGAUCUAUACAUGUCGACCAAUAAGAACUUAGGAGUAAAGCCGAUGUAACCCACCUAAAAUGCUAAUCCUUGGCAACGAAGGACUCCCACUGGUGUAGAGCAACUUGCUGGAUCAAACGCACAGCUCCGAGUCCAGAAAUCGUCCACGCUCGAGCUCUACACGACAAUAAAUCACCGUUUCAGUCCCGAAUUUCAGCAGUGAGGUACAACAGGGAUUCGACCAAGCUAACCUUCACCAAAUCCAGCAAGUAAGGACUUCGUGGAUUCCUCUCGAAGUUCUGAAUCCAAAGAGCCAAGUCUCGUCGCAAUCCGAUGCUCCUACGUCGAGAACGAGCUGAAAUACUAACAGUCGACGGUGGAUUUCAGCAAACAAUAAUUAUCCGAGUUGAAGUAGUAAGAACUUGCCCAAAAAUCCAAGGGAAGGCUGAAUUACUCACCUCGACAGCGACAAGCACCAGCACGACGUCAAGAACAGCGUAGUCGCACGCUCGCCCGGUCUUCUCGCAAAGUCCCGGCGUCAAAUACGUGCUCGAACGAUCCCGCGGCGCGACGUCGGCGACGAAACUCCAAGUAAGCUCCUUCCUUGCUUCCAACCGGGUGGGAGAGUGAGAGAGAUGGAGAGUUGCAGCUAGAAGACCUCUCUCUCUCUCUCUACACGAAGCUAAAUAGAGGGGAGUGAGGGGUGGUACAAACGAGGGAUAAAAUUACACAUUUCGCCCUCUACCUACCAUCUUGUACCGGUACACGGACUCUUGUACCGGUACAAAAGCUAACCCGAGAGCUGCUAAGCCUCUGCGCGAUGGUUGUACCGGUACAGCCACUCUGCUUGUACCGGUACAGCAAGCAGAGAAUGCUGCAGUUUGCAGAAUUCUUCGCAAUAAGCCGCCCUCGCGUCGCACGGAGUCCGUUUUACGUCUAUUUGACGCCAACGCGACUCGGACUUGUCCCGACACUCUCCAGAGCUGUCGACAAGCCUCCACAGACAAACACCAGGGAUCUCACACCUCAUGCAACCUAAGAUCAAGUGUCAAUCCUCCAAUGCUACACAACCUAGGUAACAUGCAAGGAAUGGAAAUGCAAUCAUCUACUAAUCCUAUAGUGCACAAUGUAUCAACAUAUGAGAAUAUGAUCAAAUACAUAGAACUUAGACAUAAAAGGAAAUCCGGUUGCUUCGGGAUGGACACCCCCUACCUUUAGGUGAUGUCACGAUGCUACGAUUCUGGUUUCGUGAAUUUUGGAAGCUUACGCCGCGUGCUGCGGCAAUCUGUACCGAAAUCGGCCUCUUCUUUGAUAUCUUCGCGUACACUCGUCGGAUUGCCGAACCGAGCGCACCAAUGCGUUCGUAUACCUAGCAAUUAGGUUAGAGAGUGAUCAAUUAAGCUCAAAUCCCUUCAUGAGCAAAAGCCCUCUUUUUGGAGCCCUAAAUCCUUAUUAUUGCAAUUAGCCACAUACUAGCAUUUACACUUGCAAUAAAUAAGCUCAACCACAUCUAGAGCUUCAAUAAAUUCCAUUUCUAAGGUAUUUAAACCUAAUCCAAGCGAUUCACCAUGAGAGGGGUUCAAAAACCUACCUCUACUAGCAUUUCCUCCCAAGCUAAGGAAGAAGAUGACAAUGGUGAUCCUCCUUCAAGCUCCAAUCUCUAUCUUCUUCUUCCUCAUGAUCAACUCCAAGAGAGAGAGAGAGCUUCUUAGAGAGAGAGAGAGAGAGGUCUUUUUGCUUGUUUGCAAAUAGGAGAGUGAGAGGAAAUGAGCCCUAAGCCACUCAUAUAACUCCCCUCAUCCAACAAUCACACAAAAACCCCCUCAACCAUGUAAACUGCACCAAACUGGGCCAUUUUCGGGCUCAGGAUUCGGACCUUGAAGCCAGGGUCUGGACCCCGUAGGUCUAGAAUUUCAGCACUUUUAGGACUUAGCCAAAUUUUCAGCAUUUUCAGCUUUCUUCUUCGUUUUCGCUCGUUUUCACUCGUUAGGCCUCCGAUUCAUUUCAAAUCGAACCGAGACUCUCAAAAAAUGUUUUCGAGCGCGUUUACAUCACCUUUUCAUCCCCGCUAAUGCUGGAUUUAGUCCAUGGUCCAACAAGCCGUUCGGGUCCCGUUUUCGCACCUACGCGCUCCGAAAACGCCCGAAUGCUUCCGAACCUCACCAGAAUCAUUUUAAUGACUUCCCAAUCAACAUACCUCAUAACUUCAUAACUUUAGAAGUUCGGUAUGUUACACAUUGAGGUUCUCAUUCCUUACAAUAUUAAUAGUACCAAGUACUUGGUGCUUUCAAGUUUUCUGCCGUUAGAUUUGCCCUUUUGAUCAUUUCCACCUGUUAGAUUAUACUAUUACAACAAUCAACCACUAAACCCUAGGGGACCACUAUAAUUUUAAUCAUACAUCCCUUCAUCCAAGGGCCAAAAACCUAAUAACACUAAGCAUUUAGUACUAUUAAUAGUAUAGUAGCCUAAUUCUACACAUACACACAUAUGUUGGAUUUUAUUGGAUUUUUUUGAUUUAAAACUUGUUAGGCUUCUUGGGCAGCCCAAUAAUUAAUGGGCCUUACUUGGGAGCCCAACUAAAGUUUCCAUAUGUGAGGUUUAGUCCCACAUUGGAAACUAAAAGGGUGUUGUUGGUGUAUAUAUAUAUUCCUUUAUUCUCAAGCUAGUUGCUUGGGAGAAAAUGGAAGUUAUGAUCUCGUUUAAACACACGCACGGCACGAGUCAGGCGGUCCGAGUUGCGGCACGGGCGGUUCAUACACCCGGUUUAUUUUAUUUUAUUUUUAUUUUUUCGUUUUUAUCUAUAUCCUAAUCCUAUCCGUAUAAUCUUAGGCUUAUCUUGUUCUACACGGAUUUGACACGUUGAAGCAAGAUUCUCGCCUUGAUUAUAUAUAUUGAAGGAGGUUGCACGAGUUAAAGAAGAACCCGAGCAUACCUAAACCCUACCUCGCCUCUUCCUACUUUCUCAUCAUUGAUCUUUUCCGCCGAUUUUUGCCAAGUUUUCUUUGCUGGAUCUGAAACUUGUUGGGUUCGUCUUAUGCCACCUUGAAAGCGUGUCAACGAGGUGAAACGUGAUCAUUAUAUCGCUGAAGAAAGUAAUUGCUGGGAAGCCUAGCACAUGGAGGGGCAAUUUCACUUCUAGGACAGUGCUCUAUACGCCUCGACCCACAGGCCUUUUCUAAUCAUUUUCUUUAAAGUAUUUAUUUAUUAUUUAUUUUCUUCUUCAGAUCUUUUCUAAAACUAAAACUAAACUUUCGAAUUGUUUUAAAGAAUAUUUUAAUAAAAAAUCAGAAAGAUUUUCCAACAAUAUAUAUAGUAGGACUACUAUACUCUUAUGAGUGUAGAAGCAUUUGUACUCAUAAGUUGUUUUCGAUGAUGGAGUUUCUGAAUCGACAAUCCAUAUUAUUAAACAUGAUCUAUAGUAUUUGAAACUUUUAGAAAAUAAAUUUCGUAAUUUUUAAAUCAUAAUAAAGUCUAUCAAGUGGGUAUAAAAUGAACAGUCAAAAUCGAAUAAUGUCCUAAAAAUGGAUGAUCGGAUUUCUUAAUUGAAGAUCAGAGUUAUUGCUCUUUAUCCAGAUAGUGGAUAACCGAUUUCAAUUCUUUUACACCGUUAAACUAGCAAGUAUCCAAUACUGGCCGUUAAAAAUUGUCAAAUUUGUGACCUCUUGAUCGUAAAGUAAAUGAUGUCGAAAAAUUAUAAAAUUUGAUUUCUAGAAGUUUUAAAUGAUCUAGAUAAUGUUUAAGUAAACGAUAGGAUGUGGAUUAGAACAGCUCUAUCAUCGAAAACUACUUAUGAGUACGAAGGUGAUCGUACUCAUAAAAAGUAAUAGUAAUCCAGACUCUCUCUCCUCUGCUCUGAAUAUAUAUAUAAUAUAUAUAUUAUAUAUAUAAUUAAUAUAUAUAUAUACUAAUAAUAUAUAUAAUAUAUAUAUAUAAUAGUAGAUAUAUAUAUAUUAUAUAUAAAUAUAUAUAUGAUGCAGUGAGCACGUAUGCUAUCGGAAGCACGGAGCCUUCGUGCUCCAGCUCGUUUCGAUGUUGCGACUUUCCAUAAUCGUCGAUCGACUACCGUUAACUUGUAUCUAAGUAUUUGAGGUAACUAGAAAAUAAAUUUUAUUUAUUUUUGCGAUAUCAAUUUGCCUAUGUGAAGAGGGGCUCACAAAUCAACGGCUGAAAAGUAAAAUCUUAUAAAAUCGUGGAAAGAUAUGACAUUAAAAUUUUAAACAGAAGAUAUUGAUCUUAUUUUAUAUAGUAUAAGAAUUCUUAUCAAUAAUUCACGUGAUUUGUAAUUUCUACACCUAAACUUGCAAACGGCUCACUACGACCCUUUGAAAUUUGUUGAUUUUGAGCCCCUACGAUCAACUAGCAAUAUGCAUAUCCGAAAAUAAUAAAAUUUAUGUUUCUAGGUAUUUCAAAUACUCUAGAUCAAGUUUAAACGGAGCCGUAUCACCGAUUCGAAAGUCCCGCAACAUCGAAACACGAGCUGGAAGCAACGAAGGUCCGUGCUUCCGAUAAGCAUAGGUAGCCUCACUUAUAAUAUUAUAAAUAUAUAUGAGGUCCGGCUACUAUACUAUUAGAGUACGAUCGCUCUCGUACUCAUAACGUUGUUUUUCAGAUAUAGAGCUUCCGAAUCGGAACAAUCCCACACCGUUAAACAUCUAUCUUACAAAUUAUAAAACUUCUAGAAUCAAAUUGUUAUAAUUUUUCGACAUCAUUUACCUUACAGAUCAAGAGGUCACAAAUUUGAACAAUUUUUAACGGACCAGCCGAUAUGGGAUACUUUCUAGUUGAACGGUGUAAAAGAAUCGGAAUUUGUUCUGAUUUUUUGAUAGAAAAUUCAUAUUCCUAAGAUAGAGUAAAUGUCAAAAAUCCGAUCUUGAAAUUGAAGAUCCGAUCAUACUUUUUUUUAGGAUGUCGUUUCGAUUUUGACGUACAUUUAGCUGCCACUUGAUGGACUUUAAUUAUGAAUUUCAAAAAUUUACUGAAAUGUAUUUUCUAAAGUUUCAAAUAACCUCUAUGAUCAUAUUUAAGCGGAGUGACGUCGUUCGUGAAGCUCCAUAAUCGAAACACAACGUUAUGAGUACGAGGAUCCAUAUCAUAAUAGUAUAAAUACCAUGGCCAAUAUAAUAUAUUAUAUAAUAUAUAUAGAUAUAUAGGCGUUGAGGCUAGAUAGUCUAUCGAAUAGUAAACGAGCUCGCGUUCCACGCGCUUUGUUUCUCGAAUGAUAGAGCCUCCAAAUUGACCGAUCGGCCACCGUUGAACAUGAUCUAUACUACUUAAAGUGUUAAAACAAAUUUUAAAUCUUUUCACAAUCAUAUUGUUUUAAUUAUCAAGAGGGUUCAAAAUUUGUAGUUUUAAUGGUCGAUAGAGGCGUUUUCUCGUUUAACGGGCGUAAGAUAUCCAAAUCAAAUUGAAUUUUUGUUAGAAAUUUUUUACCAUUUGUAAAGACAGUAUCUAUACUCUUUUGAUCUUGAUUACAAGACUCUUAAUCAUUGUAUUUUUAAAGAUAUUCAUUUUCAGGCCGUUCAUCACUUUUGUGUCUACUCGAUGGAUAAAGAGAACAAUAUCGAAAUAUAAUAAAUUUGAUUUCUUAAAAUACUUCAAGUGAUAUAGAAUCAUAGUCAACGUAACCGAAUUCGUCGAUUUUGGAAGGCUCAUCAAUCGAAUACAAUGGGUGGCAACGAGUCCGUUUGCUAUCGAUAGUAUUUUAGUCACUCUCUCUCCUCCCAUCUCUCUCUCUCGUCAUCCUCUCCUGUCUCUCUCUCGAGUUCUCUCUCUCUCUAGUUAUAUUAUAUAUAUAUAGUACGAGAGAGAGAGAGAGAGAGAGAGAGUUGAGCUAUGAUACUUUUACAAGUAUCACCAUCAUGGUGCUAUUAGGUUUUAAGCCAUUGGAUCUACUUUUUGAUUAUUAAUAGCCCUUGGAUUAAUCACUAUUCCACCUACCACCAUCAUCUCAACCUCACAUCUCUCCAUCCAAGGGCUAAAAGCACACAAAUAUCAUCCCCAUGAUACUUUUACAAGUAUUCUAGCCCUACUCUCUCUCUCUCUCUCUCUCUCUCUCUCUAUAUAUAUAUAUAUAUAUAUAUAUAUAUAUAUAUAUAUAUAUAGUAUGUAUGUAUGUAUGUAUAUUCAAGCUAUAUUGAGCCGAAUAUGAGUGAGCUCAUCCCAUCAUGUAUUUAGCUCGUUAAGAUUUCAAACCGAAAAAUUUAGUUCGUAUUCGGCUCGUUUAUUAAACGAGUGAUUGUUCUCGAGCUCAUUUCAAACCAAAUGCUAGCUUGAGCGAGUUGACUCCAGCUCGUGUUCAGCUCUUUAAGAUUUCAAGCUGAAAAAUUUAUCUCGUGUUUGGCUUGUUUAUUAAGCCAUCAAUUGAUCUCGAGGUCAUUUCAAGCUAGAUACGAGCUUGCUCAUAAACAGCGAGCUGGAUUAUUAGCCCUAAGCAGUUGCAUGUAGCGUAUGUUUAAGGAUAUCAGCAUGUCAUCCUAUUCACUUGAUUAUGCAUGUAUCAUAUUACAACAUUAUUUUCUUCCCUUUUGGAGUAUAAUAUUUUUUGCUUUUGAAUUAUUUUUCUUUUCUGCUUGAACAUGUAAUAUAUAAAAAGGACCAAUCCUUGCUUAAUAUAAGUCAUGUCUUAAGCAUUCGAGCUUCAAUGAUAUGGUAUUAGAGUCAAAUUUUUUUCAACAUCAUGUUGGAUUGUUGGUACUAACAUUAAUUCCAAAAGCUUGAUCUAUUAAAAAUAUGUAAUUAAUUCGCUUAAAGUAUAUAUAUCAACACAUCGCCCACGGAUGUGGAAUAUCAAAACUCGACCCAAUAAGCCUCGCGCUACUUCGAACAUAAUUCGGCUUAAUCCAACCUCCCGCUAUUUCGAAUGUGACUUAGCCCAACCAUGCCUUAAAGGGGACAGAAUGCUCGCCCCUUUAAGGUGACACAUUAUAUGUAGUCCAAAGUGGGUCACAAAAACCACCCAAAAUUUUAUUUAAGUAUAUAUUGUUAGGAUUUGGUUAGAUUUGUAGUUGAAUUCUAAUUGGAUUAGGAUUAAUAUUUAAAUUUAUUAGAUAUAAAUUAGGAUUUAAAUAUUAAUUAGAGUAAAAUCUAAUUGGAUUAGGAUUUUGGUAGCUUUUGAUGUAAGCUAUAAAUAUAGCAUAUGUGCUAUGAUUGUGGUAGUGGUGGUACUGAUUAGCCACACCCAUAUGGGAUGGUCAAGGUAGUCAUGAUUUUGGAUGCACCUAAUUAAUGCAUGGGUGGAAGAGGACGUGAGCGGCUUUCGCAGCCCUAGAUCUUGUGCACGGGUGUACAUGAUGAGAGAAAUAUCUUCUGAGACUACAGAAGACGAGAGAAGGGUAUGAGAGAUUCAAGAAGAGGGCUUGGGGUUGUAGCUACUAUGUUAUAGAAGAUGGAUCAUGUAUAAUCUUCUCUUAUUUAAUGAAUCUUAUUUUACCCACAUAAUUUCUGUUUGGUUUUUUUUUUUUUUUUGUGAUUAUAUCAGCUUCUGCUAAGGAGACGGGUUUAUGUUAAAAAUCUAAUUUGACACUUCCGUUGCAGAAUCGUAAUAAUCAGUACCGAAUUCACAGCAGUCGAUAUCGCAGCGAGUUGUGGAUUCUCCGGUACCGGGGUAAGUACCGGAUUCCCAACAUAGGCUCUAGCAGGAAUAAAUGUGUUUAUUUAGGUGCCCAAAGAGCCAUAUAUGUCGAGCCAAAGGGGACUUGCAUUAGGACCCACCGCAUUUUGAAUUUGUAACCUAAUUAGCACCACCUGCAAUACGAGGAAGGAAUAUAUUGGCUAAGGAUAAAUUCAAUGGAUGAUCACUAGCUGUAUAGGGAUAUACAUAACUGGUAGUGACAAUAACUCAAACUACCAACCGUCCCUAAAGCUAGUGGCAAAGGGUUUGGUGGUUGGUACCCGAGACCCAAGUUCGAAUCCUACUUGAUUCACAUUUCUAGCUAAGUUUAUUUCUAAAUGAAAUAAACGAACCGAGUAGUGUGCUGCCUAUCUCUUAAAAGAAAAAAAAAAAGAAGACAAUAAUUCAAACUAAAAAACAAAGAGGGCCUCUAAGAGGUGAGUAUAUGUGGCUUUGAGAAAACGUAAAAAAGUUGCUUAUGUUGCACCCUUUUUUUUAGAAAUAAACUUAUCUGAAAAUGUGAAGUAACUACAUUUUUAAUUUAGAAUCUCGGAUACCAAUCAUUAAGGGCCUAUUUGGAUACACAGUAAAAAAUCUCCACGGAUUUAUAAACUGUGGUUUUGAUCUAGAUAAAGUAGAGAAUCCUACAACUCUAAAAAAUCCACGGAUUCAAUUUUUAAACUAUUUGGAUACGCAUUGUACAAUUUCACGGGAUUUUUCUAAAUUUUAAUAUUAAAAGUUAAAAUUUAAAAUUUAAAAUUUCAAAAAAAAUUUAAAAUUUAAAAUUUGAUAUGUGAAAUGUGAAAUUUUGAAUUUUAAAUUUUAAAUUUUAAAUUUUAAAAUUUAAAUCUAUGUGAAAUUUAAAAUCUAUGUUGAAAUUUAAAAUUUUAUGUUGAAAUUUAAAAGUUAGAACUUGAUGCAUUUUUUUGAAUGAGGGAGCUCAAGAAUGGUGGAAUUUUUUUUUCUUUGGUUAGAGUGGAUUAAACUUUUACUCUAUUUUUUAGAGUAUAGUUUAACUAUACUCCAAAAAUUACGUUACUUUUUUUCCUUCCAAACGCUUCAUAGGAUAUUUUUUCUACCGCUGUAGCAUAGUUUAACUAUGCUACGUUUUCAGGAGUAUUCAAACGGGCCCUAAGCCUUUUGUCAUUUGCCCUAGAGAUGCUUUGGGUUUAUGUUACAUUGCUCACUGCAACAGAAUUAGAUUAUAGGGACACAUAUUUGGGACACUUUUGUGUAAGUGUCUUAUUUAUGUCAAAAUUUUUAAAAAAAUCUACUAAGGCCUAAAUAUAAAGCCCAAUCUAAUAAAAAAUAAAAGGUUACUCUACUCAACCCACCCCACCCAGCCCAUUUGGCUCAAUUACAAACAGAAAAGGAAAAAAAAAAAAAUGAUCACCAUCGCCCCUUCUCCCCUCAUUCAAUCCGCUAAAAUCCUAGACGAAGAGCCCUUCGCUCUCCUCCUCCUUCGCCACCGCAGCCAACGAGGUAAAGUUCCGGCAGUUACUAAAUACUUAAAUAAGUAUUGGUAAAUUAGCAGCACUCUUUUUAGGUUAUACUGACACUCUUAAACUGUCACUAUAUAUCUAGCGACCCCACAUAGAGCAACACUUUUUAAAAAUUUUGGUAAUUUAGCCAGCAAUAUUUUUUUGACCUAUACCAAUAUUUAAAAGUGUCGCUAUACACCGUUGUUGUUGUAGUGAACGUUGAUCUUUGAACUUUUAGGAAAGUUUUACUUUGGCCUUUAUAUAUGAGGUGGAUGGAAAGUUUUUAUUGGAAACUUUUAGGAAAGUUUUUAUGGUUUAAAUAUAUCCAACCCUUGAACUUCUGAAUUGUACCAAUUUAGUCCCUGUUGUUAUCUACAGUUAAGUUUGAUGAUGGAAAGAAUAUUUAUGAGGUGGAUGCAAGCAUAUAUUGGUAUAAAACUUGGCUGCAAUUUACAUUAAUUUUUGCCCACUAAAAUGGCAUCUGGUGAUUAGAAAAAUACAUUUGAAAAAAAAAAUAUUGCGACAACUCAUUCUUCAAGAGGCUAUAAGUUUGGUUAGGAUUGAAUAUAUGAUAUUAAAACAUCCUCUUUGUUUUUUUUUUUUUUUGAGAGAGAGAUAGGUAGCACGCUACCUGCUUCGUUUAUUUCAUUUAGAAAUAAACUUAGCUGGAAAUGUGAAUCAACUAGGAUUCGAACCUGGGUCUCGGGUACCAACCACCAAACUCUUUGCCACUUGCUCUAGAGACGGUUGGUAAAACAUCCUCUUUGUUAGAGUAAGUUUUUCCAGGGAAAUAGCUAGUUGUUAAAUUACAUCAUAUCAGAUCGAGAGGUUCUGAGUUCGAUUUACGCUAGCUAGUUCCAUGUAGCCUCAAUGGUUGAUCACAUUUGGAGGCUAUCUAUUUGGUACACUAAUAUAAGUUUAGAGGGCCAAAAAAACAACAUAAAAGGAAAAAAAAAAUCAAAUAAUAACUUAAUUGGUUAGCUUGUCUGUAAAAUAAUUGCUUAUUUUGCUAUGUAAAGUGAUAGUUAAUUAAGUAUUUAGGCCUAUGUAAAUAAAAAGAUUUGAUUACUCUUGUGACAUAAGGUGAAAAAGCAUUUAUUUGAACCCUAAAAUCAAAAGACCCAAUAUGAAUCUUUGGCCGAUUCUUGCAUAGUGGAAAGUUAUUUGAGACGAUAUCAACAAAUUAAGAACACUUAAUGCUUUUUCGAAGUUUUACAUUGUUAUAUGAUUCGGUCAAUUUAGUGUUAGAGUUUAAAAAAAAUCGUGACUCAACUAAACUGGCUCGAAAAUCUUGUUGAGUUCAGCAAUUUUUAGAAUCAACGCGGAAAAUCCUUCAACGAUUAUAACUUUUCGUUCAAGUAUAUAUCCAUUUUUAGCGUGCAGCCCUAAUUAGGAAAAUAAUUUUUGAGAUCUAUGUGUCGAUUGACAAAAUUGUUUUGAUCUAGUUUGGAACCAAAUUCAACUAUGUAGGCCUCUAUUUUUGCAUAUUUAGGUUAUUUUCACAAAGUUGUGUCUGGUUAUUUGGUUAUUUUAGAUUGAUUUAGGUUUUGAAAAAUAUUAGAGUUAAUUUAUCAUCUUUAUUUACUAUAUGAUUUGGAUAUCGACCAUAUAUAAAUAUAUGUGGCGUUCGCUUAAUGUAAUUAGCCUUUUAGAGUUGAUUAAUAAUAUUUUCGUGUUCGUCAAAAAAUUGCAUUUUUGGUGUAUCUCUCUUUUCAUCCUUACGUUAAUUUCUUCCCUCUCAAUGCGACUUAGGCCUGCCUCAUUAUACUUUUGCAGAAAUUUCUUUUUUUUUUUUUUUUUUUUUGAGAAAAAGAUAGCACGCUACCCGCUUCAUUCAUUCAGGGUAUGAACUUAGCUACAUGGGUGAGGCAACAAGGCCUCUGAAGAGAUGAAAAGCCGGACAAAGACAAAAUACAAGUUCCUCUUUUGGCCAGCAAAUAAAGAUAGUUAUUCCUCAAUACAAGUUCUUAGAAUAGCUCUAGUUCGCACUCUUUUGGCCAGCAAAUAAAGAUGUAUGUUCUUCUUUAGUUAUUCCUCAAUAUUGGAUUAUAAAAUAGAAGGUAUGGAAAGCAUGAAAACGUGCCCUCAUGGUCCAUAGUAAAAAGAUACAAGAUAAGAUACUCUAUAAGAUAGCACAAAUUAAUAUUCUGCGAGAAGAGAUGCAAUGGAACUCCUGAUCACAAUAGGUUAUAAAUUGCACCACGUAUAAGCCCGUAGCAACACCAAUUACAAUAAUAGUAAUCGUCGCAUGCGUUGCUCACUCAUGAGAUAACAAAAGCCAUUAAAUGGAGGGAAUAGUAUAGUAUUUAGAAUUGAUCUGGGUAACUAAUUAACAAUGUACCCAAGAGUUAGUGCCACAUAAAAUUUCCGUAGACGAGAAGUGUGAUCAAAUGCGUACCACAUAAAACUCUCUACUUUUGAAUUAAUUAUAGAAGAAAAAUUUUAUGUUAGAUAAAUUAUCAUCGGAUAACUCCUUUGGACAGCCACACAAGGCCUAGCUAAAAGAGUUUUUAGCAUUGCCAGGGUUAUCUAAAGUGUUUAACGAAUAAUUUAGAGCUUGUUUGGCGUUGUUGUAUGUACUUUAGAGAUAACUGCGACUAAAAACAAAAUUAGAAGCUAUAUAGGCCAAAUUAACAUAUAUAUAAGGCGCGAAUACAGUUUCUACAAAUGAGCUUGUAGAAUACUGGAGCGCUAGCUAAUAACGUAUAAUUUCUUAUUGAACUCAAAAUUCUAAACAAAAUCAUUUUUUCGAGGCUCAAAAAGGUUCGUUUCAGCCCCCUGACACAAUAAAAGCUUUCUAUAUUUUUGUUCGCCAAAUGACAUAAACUUUUGUUGCACCUGUAGUGCUAAAGAAGCUUUUCCAAAUGACAUGUAUAGCCAAGUAAAUGAGCUAUUUGUGUGAUUAACAAAGGAUGCAUGGUUAAGUAAUGGAUGAUUGGUUAUUGGUGGGGCACUUAUUUGGGGUAUAUACAUUAUUUCUUGGUAAUUAUUUUUAGCUCUCUACCUAUAAAUAGGGGUGGCAAUCCAGCUCGCUGUUCGCGAGUCAGCUCAUUUUCGGCUCGAAAUGAGCUCGAGAUCGGCUCGCUCGUUUAGUAAACNAAUUAUUUUAAAUUCUGAAUCUACUAUUUUAUUAUUAAAAUAUAUUUAAUUUUACUAGGAGAUCAUGUGUAUAUAUUUCAACAUUUAAAUAGUUAGUUUUACUAGGAGAUCACGUAUAUAUUUCAACAUUUAGAUUUAUCUAUUUUAACAGUUAUAAUUAAACUAUAUUAUACAAUUUAUAUAAGAAUUAUAUUUUUGUUAAAGUAAAUUGUAUAUCAUAAAUUUGUAUUCAAAAAGCUAUUAAAUAGCAUGAGUUAAAGUUAAAUUUAACAUGUGAAUGAAAAUUAGAAAAAAGUUGAAUUGUAGUAGAGGUGGCAAUCCAGUUUGCUGUUUGCAACCUCGUGUUUGGUUCGAAAUGAACUCGAGAUCGAAUUACUCGUUUAGUAAAUGAGUCGAACAGGAGCUGAGGCCAGCUCGCUCGUGUUCGGCUCGUUUACACCCCUACCUAUAAAUGAGGAAAUGUUUGCCCAUAUUGAUACCUCCAAACAAGUUGCAUGCAUGCUCUCCUCAAACUCCAAUGCAUUGCAGACCAGCAAACAAAGGCCAUGUGCUUUUAGCAAAAGCAAAUUGAGAAAUGUGGUGUUUUUUGGAAGCAUUAAUUGGUGGGUGGGGUUACUGUAGCUAGUUAGACAGGUGGAAGAGAAUGAAGCCAAAAGAAAAAUAGUAGUGGUUGUGUGAUUUUCUACUUCCUGCUUUUUGGUCUGUCCCCCAUUUCUCUAUAUGCUGGAAGAUUGGACUAACCCCAUGCAUACAGCUCAGCUAGCUAGCCAGCUUUCUUUCUUUUAGUAAAAGUGUUACAUAUAUGGAUAGUCCCUCACCUCAUAAUUGAGAGUUAGUAUCAACAUAUACUUUAGUUUCAUUUAAAUAAUUAUAAAAAUAUAUAAACUUAUCUGAACUAUAGAGCAUUUGGAUUUGAGUAUUCAAUCUAUCAAAAUUUUAAUUUUGCUAUCUAAACUUUCAGUUUGUUUGAUUUGAGCCGGUUAACGGCACUUUCACUUCAAACUUAGAAUGCGUCAUUUAUCCUUACAUAUUUAAUUAGUAUAUUUCAUCUUUAUAGGUUUUAGUAAAAAUGUUACAUGGAUAGUCCCUGGCCUCUGAGAGUUAGCAUUAACAUAUACUACUCUAGUUUAAAUAUAUGAAACUUAUCUGAAUUAUAGAGCAUGUGGAUUAGAGGUUCCAAUCUAUCAAAAUUUCAAAAUUUUGAUUUUGCCCUCUAAACUUUCAAUUUGUUUCAUUUGAGUGAGUUAACCAUACUUUCACUUCAAACUUAAAAUGCGUCGUUUAUCUUUACAUAUUUAGUUAGUAUAUUUUAUAUAAUUCUCACAAAUAAAAGUUAAUUAAUUAAAGUAAGCAAUUGGUUUAUAUUUUGGAGUCAAAGUGCUGUUCUUUACUCAAACCAAAUAAAUUUAAAUAUUGAAUAGCAAAACAAAAAUUUUGAAAGGUUGGGUAGCCAAAUUCAAAUGGUCUAUAUAUAAUUCAGUUAAGUUUCACAUAUUUUUAUUUUUAAAUAACAAUAUAGAUAUUUCAUUUUUACAUAUAUUACUCGUUUAAUUUUUUAUCAUAAAAAUGAAUUUAAUACAUUACUUCUAUUUCAUUUGAAUAAUUUAGCUUUUGCAUUUUUUUUAUAUGUUGCUCUUUUAAUUUUUUUACCGUAAAAAAGAAUUUAGCAAUUUCUUAUAGAAUUAUCAUUUUACCCUUGGCAUAAAAUGCCUAAACUUCUUUCAAUUUUAUCCAGGUCCAGCUAUUUCGCAGCAAAAGUUGAGUGUUCUUACCAAUUAGGGACUGAAAAUUAAAGCAGCAUAAAUUAAGGUUUGGGUUUAGAAACUAAAGUAUUUAAAGAAAAAAGGGCUUUUUCUUAUUUACCUCGGAAUACUAUUUAAAAUUUUAAAAUUUACCAACAAAUUAUCAAAAUACCCUUCUAUAUCUCAAAUCCUAUUAGUAAACACUAGAAAUUUGGAAAUAUUUGAAGCAAUUUGUCGAAAUCAAGAAGGACGUUUUGAUCAACCAAAAAUAUAUUAAGAUAUUUUUAAAAUUUUAAACAAUAUAUUUAGAUAUUAUACCUAAAUACAAAGUAUCUAACUAUUAUAUAAUACAGUAUAUAAAAAGCCAAGAGCUCAAGCCUCAUUUUGAAACACACAAAGUAGAUAGAAGCACUAGGCCAGCUAGUCUAAGAAACAUGCUUUUCCCAAUUUGGCAAUUUUAUCAACAUCAGCAAUUCUAAAUGUAUUUUUUCACUUUCCAUAUCUAACAAAUCUAUGGUUUGAAUAAAAAAACUAGAGCUUAGUCACCUCAAAGCCUCAAACAUCUCAAUAUUUACUAAAAUGCCACCAUCGGAUUAUAAUGUAUAGUUUGUAGGCAUUGACAAUUGACAUAUACAAUACUAAUCAUCCUUGAGCACAGUUGAUUGGUAUCCAAGAUUUUGAUGGCUUAAAGGGCCAGCGUCUUGCCCUAUGGCUGGAGGUCAUGUUGGGCUGCGUCAUGUUCAAAAUGACGGAAGGCCAGAUUGGACCGAAUCAUGUUCGAAGAGGCAUGAGACUAGUUGAGCGGAGUUACAAUCAAGACUUAUUUGACGCUGUGUCUGUUUUAAGUGAAUUGAUUGCGUAUUUCUAACAGCUCGGCUUUUAGAGAUUAAUAGUUAACGUCAACGAUCUGACAAUUUUAAGUUCGAAUUCUAAUUGCUUCAUAUUUUCUAUCUUAUUUUAUUUCAAAUGAAACUUGUUUAGUUGGUUACAAACAAUAAUUUUCAGUUUUAAAUUGGACAUGAGUGGAAAUUUGUGAGAAAUAAUAUAAUUAACUUACAAUAUUCCUCUGUGGUACAUGUACAUUCUUAACAAUGUAUAUUAACAUGGUCAAGGACACUUAACAAUAUACAUUACCAUGGCCAAGAACACUAAAUUGUAGUAACACACUAUAUUUAGAUUUUUUUUUUUUGCCUUUCUCACUAAUCAUAAAUUAGCUAUCUUAUUUAUAAGAUAUUAUACUAAUAAUAGAGUCUUCUAUGCAAUCUAUCAAAUCGACUUGUCAACUUGGUCCAUCUGAACCUAUUUGCCAGCCUCUCUCCUUUCAAGUUUAGAUAUCUGAUUCAAAAUGAUUUGUUAGUUAAGGAAAUCAGCAACCGACCCCAGAAGGCUAGGUUGGGUGAUCCAAGUCAGGCCUAAAUUAAGAAGGCAAGAUAAGUUAAUCAAUUAGGUGUAUUUGGUUCAAUUCGGUGUAGCACACUGAACUUUAGUAAAUAGCAAGGUUGCAGUGUUAGAAUAGUGUUUUGAGCUAUUCUUAGUGUUUCUGAAGGUCGUUGACUGAGUACUGACCUAUUCUUCGAGUUUCGAGAACGCGAGAAGGAGUACUUAGCACCAAAAUUUGAUAAUUCAGUUGUUGGGGUGCCGAGUACCGAUACCUGGGUGAGGUACUGGAACCCCUGUGCGUGACCGAGAGAGUCUGUAAGGUACCAAACUUCUAAAGUUAUGAAGUUUCAGUGGAUAUUAAUUUGAAAAGCCAUUAGAAUGAUUCCGGCGAAGUUCGGGAGCAUUCGGGCAUUUUCGUUGCGUGUUGGGCGCGAAAACGGAAUUCGAAAGGAUAUGUUGGACCAUGGACUAAAUCUGGCAUUAGCGUGGGUUAAAAGAGGAUUUAAAUACGCUUAAAAAUAUAUUUUGAGAGUCUCGGUGCGAUUUGAGGCGAAUCGGAGACCCACGGAGCAAAAACGAGCGAAAACGGACCAAAAUUAGCGAAAAUGCUGAAAUUUUGGCCAAGUCUAAAAGUGCAGAAUUUUUGGACCUACGGGGUCCGGUCCCUCAAACCAAGGACCGGUCCCCGUACCCGAAAAUGGCCCAGUUUGGACAGUUUGCAUGGAUAGAAGAGUGGAGGGUUUUUCCAGCAAUUGUGCUGAGUUAGGAUUAAAAGAAAGGCUUGUUUCUCUCUCUUUUCCUCUCAUUUCUUCCAACCCAACCCUAAACACUCCCUUUCUCUCUCUAGGUUAGCUCUCUCUCUCUCUCUCUCAUCAAGGAAGGCUAGAGGAGAGGGAUUUGGAGGAGAAGAAGUUUGAAGAGGGGAUCAUCAUCUUCUCCAUCUUCUUCUUCGCCAUUGGAGCAAGCUUAAGAGGUAAGCUUUGGUAGCUCUAAUGGUAGAUUAGUAGGGUUUAAUUCUUAAACCCUAGAAAUGGUUUUUAUGGAACUCCUAGAUGCCAAAUAGAUGUUUGAUGCUUGAAUCUAAAGGUUAAAUGGUGAUUAUUGCAUUGGAAAGAUUCUAGGGCUCCAAAAUGGGGUUUUGAGAAAUAGUAGGGUUUGAUCUAAAUUAACCCUAUACAAACCUAAUUGCUAGGUAUAUGAACGCGUUGGCGAAGUCGGUUCGGCGGUUCGUCGAGCCUACGCGAAGAAGUCGAAGGAAAGGCCUGUUUUGGUACAGAUUGCCGCAACACGCGGCGUAGGCUCCCAAAAAUCAUAAGAUUGGAUUCGUGGACUCGCAGCAUCACCUAAAGAUGGGGGGUGUCCAUCCCAAAGCAACUGGGCUUCCCUUUAUGUCUAUGCUCUAUAUUGAUUAUAUUCAUAUAUUGAUAUUAUGCAUUAUAGGAUGAGUAGAUGGUUGCAUGCUUUCUUAGUAGUGUGGCAUUGUGGGCUUGACACAUGGACUAGGGAUGCAUGAGGAUUGGGUCUUGUGACAUGGAAUCCUAUAGUGGCAUAAAGUGAUGAACUUAGACUUGUGAUGAUAGAAACAAGUGACAUUGGACUAGUGUAGUUGAGACACUAUAAUAUGAGUGAGUGGCAUGUUAAUUUAGUGUAGCGAGACACUUACAACAAAAUGACAUCACGAGUGGCAAUCAAAUUUAGUGUAGUAGAACACUAUGACAUGAACUUAGGAUAGAUAACGAUCUCCUGAGUAGUAGCAUGUGAACUAGUGCAGCAGAAGCAUUAACUAUCCUCCAGUGAGGGAAUUGGAUUAUACUCACAUAGUGUGUGUAACCUUGGCAUGGUUGCUCCAACCAAGUAGUGAGCUCUGGAGUAGUAGUCGUGUUGGGACAGACGCAGUUGUCCCGCAGACGGGUCUUGGGUGGGUGUAGCGCAGAUUCUCCCCACUAGCGAGAUUUGAGAUGUGAGUUGGCAGUAACCUUCGGGUUAGCCAUGAGUCGGUUGUAACCUUCGGGUUAGCCGAGAUGAGAUUUGAUUAUCGAGGCAUAGUAGCACGACGCACUAUGUAGCAGCUCGUUCAUUUAGAUUAUUUGAGGCAUAGUAUCAUGUUGUAGAUCGCAUACUAUAUAGUAGCUCAUUUAUUAUUUAUUGAGGCAUAGUAUCAUGUUGUAGAUUCAUACUAUGUAGUAGCUCAUUCAAUUGUAUAUUGAGACAUAGUGCAUGUUGUAGAGUACAUCCUUUGUAGUAGCUCAUUCAUUGAUUAUAGAAGCAUAGUAUCAUAAUUAGUAGAAUAUCAUUACUAUGCUCAAGCAUUUCAUGAUUACAGAGGCAUAGUAGCAUGUGUAUAUUCCAUUACUAUGUAGCAGCUCUUUUCAUACCUAUCUAUCUAUCUGUUGCUUAUGCCUGCUUAGAUCUAGUGGGAAGAUCGGCGGAGUCGGCGGCCGAACCCACUGGGAACUAUAUUUAUAUAGUUCUCACUUCACUUUAUUGCAGGGCUUAGCGAGAGUGUACCGGCAGAGGACCGUGGUAAGGGCAUAGCGCCCUAUUUAGCUAGCAGCUUUCAUUUUGCAUUAGAGUACCCUCGUGUACAUGACUAGUAGAGGAUGUAUUUUGGAGAUCGUACUAUGCAUGUGAGAUGGAUAUGUAUCUAAAUGAACUUGUAUUCAUUUCUGGUGAGAUGAAAUAUGUAAUCAAAGUUGUAAAUGUGAAUGAUGAAUGCCACAUGGAUGUAAUAGCUAGAUUAUCUCUCUUUUAUGCACUUGUAUAUUUACUUGUAUCUUGCUCUUGUUGGUAUAGCACUUGUGGUGCUUCAUUGAAUCAUGUAUGUUAAUUGAGUUUAUUCUGGGCAACUCUUGUACAUGAUCUUGUCGUUUUAGCUUUGGGCGUAUAAGGGAGGUGCUGUCUGUCCGGCGUCUGUUCGACGCGCCCGGGCCGAGCCAAAUUGGUAGCGGUCGCGGGGCGUGACAGAGUCGCUCUCGGGUUUGGGCUGAGAGGUGCUGAGUACCGGUACCGAGUUACCGAGUACUGGUAUUGAGGUCAGAUACCGGUACUGUAUCGAGCGGGUACCGGUACGCCGUAAACAGAUCGCUUGACUGGGGCUCGGGUUUGGCAGAUCUGGUUGCCGGGUACCGGUACUCCUCCCCGAGUACCGGUACACAGUGCAGAAACUGCAGUUCGUGCAGUUUGCAAUUUUUGGAGUUUUGAAGGGUCUUGAGGGAAUUGUUACAAUAUAUUUAUAUUACACCCUCUUCCCCACACGCCCUCUCUUGUGCUGAGGCUGAGAAGGGAAAAAUGUAGGGUUUUCCCCUUUCUCUCUCUAGAUUUCUCUCCCAAACCUCCUUUGAUUUGGGAUUUGAUCUUGUUUCUCUUCAUUUCCUCCUUGAAGCUUGCAUCUUGGAGCUUGGGAGGGAGCUUAGAAGUAAAGAGAGGAGCUUCUUGGUGGAUCAAUCUCCAACCCUAGCUCAAGUUAGCUUGAUUUGGAGCUUUCUUGAAGGUUAGUAUUCUUCUUGCAAUAUCUAUUUGUGAGUUUUGAAAGAUUUGUAGAUGAAAAUCUAAUUUUGGAAGAACUAGGGUUUAUUUUUGGGUUUCUUAUUUUGGGGCUUUUGGAGCUUAAUUGAUGAGUGUAGAACUCUCCUUUAGGUUGGAUUUGAAGCUCCAUUGAGUUGAUUUAAGCCUUGGACAAGUUUUACUUGGUUAAAGAAAAUUUUCACUUCUUUUCCUUGUGAUUUUUGGUGAAUUUUGUAUGAUGUUUGUUCGAAUCUUGUAACCCUCUUAGAAAUUCUUUUAGGGUGCUAAAAGCUUGGUGGACAACUUCGUUCGAAGGAACGAAAGGGUUCAAGGAGUAUCUGAUGGGUUUGACCUCACCGAAAUGGGUGAACUCCCUCUAUGUCUUCCUUAUGGUUUGAGACAUAAUUAGAUGCAUAUUCAUGCUCAAUAUGACAGCUAGAAUUUUUGAAAACAUGCUUCAUACAUGUUAUGUGUAGAAAAAUUUAUGCUCUAUGAAGUAGAGGCUUACAAUAUGGACUUAUGCAUGGAAUGACACUUCAUGAUAAUUCCCUUUUAUGUAACCUUAGGCAGCAUGUUAGAUAAUGAAUAAAGGUUCAAUCUUUGGAGUACACAUAGUGUAUGGAUUAGAAAGAGUGGUUAUCUUACAUGAUGAACAAUAUACUUAUUGAAGACAAGAUAAAUGUGACAUUGUGACAUAGUAUAUGUUAAGGUCAAUAUGAAGCUAAGCUUGGUGCCUUUAAUCUAGUUGAACAAUUAGAAUUUGACAUUGUGACAUGGUAUUCGAUUUAGAGAUAUAGUUGUAUUUCAUGUUUUAGCCAUGAGAAAAUGACAGUACAAAGCCUUUAGGGCGAGCCCUAAUAAGGAUAAUUGCAUAUAAUAUUAGUGAAAUGAAUUGCUUGCAUGAUAACACUUCUACUCUAUGUAGUGGGAACUUUGGUAGAAAAGCAUAUGCAUGACAUGCAUUAUGGUUUUUGUGGAUAUUGUUAUAACUCUUUUGCAUAUGGCAUUGGUAACUGUUUCCCUUAACAAUUGUUGGAAUUGCAUGUUUAUGAACCUCUUUGGAGUCUUGAACAAAAUAGUGAACUAUCCUAGAUAGGAUAAUGACAUGUGAACUAUGCAUGCUUUAGGCACAUUAUGUGUUGGUAGUUACAUACCACCCAAGUAAUUUUGAACAAGACAUGACAUGCAUGAUCUAGUAUUCGACCGUAGAGUCGAUGUGUGAAAUUUCAUAUUUUAGACAUGAUGAUUGAGUAUCCAAAUUGUGGAUCCUAUGCUAUUAUCACGCUUGCUUGCCCAUGUGCUCAUUCGCACAUACUUGUGAGGGUCGCUCCCUACCGGCUAACAUUCCGGAGUUAGCCUUGCGACGAUAGAUCGCCCGUGCGGGAUUGGGCGGUGAAGUGGGAUGCCGUGGGGAGUGUAUACUACCACGGGGUCAUUAGGCAUGGCACGAGGCAGGACGUUACCUCGUAUAAGUCUCUCGUAAAUUGGGUAUUGAGACUUAACUUGACAUUGUACAUCACCGUGGUUGAUGCAUAUAUAGUAGAUAGACAUACUUGUGGUUUGCUACCUUAUGUUACCACUUGAUGCAUUCAUAAUAGUGGGACAUUUUUGUGGGACAUUAUUACAUUGACAACCUUAGUGGUAGUAAAUAUACACCUAUGUAAAUUAGUAUAGAUGCAUGGUUGGAAUGACAAUGAAAAAUAUAAUUUACUCAUGGCAUUAUAGAAAUGAUGAACAUGCAUGUAAAUUGACAUUGGCAUAUAAUUGAACAUGUGACAUUAGAACAUUAUGAACAUGAUAGUUAACCUUCUUUGGUAGAGGCAUGAUUUAUAAAUUAAGUUGUUGAAUUUAUUUGUUACCCUGAUAUUUGCUUACAUACCAUAUUAUAUCAUGCCUCAGUUGACUUAGUGGUGUAUUUCGUCACUCUCCGCGGCUUACCCUCUAGGAACUAUUGUUUAAUAGUUCUCACUCCCAUUGGUUGUUGGUUUUUGUUUCAGAGCCUUCCGCAGCGUAAAAGGUUAGGGAUCGUGGCAAGUGGUUAGCAACUAGCUAGAGCCUCUGCGGAGUUAUUAUAGAUGGACCCGGUGUCAUCUUUCCUUUUGUAUUUGUGGAAAAUAUGUAUUAUGUGUAUAUUUAGAGAUCUAUUAGUCUUUUGGAUUCAGUUGUAUAUGCUCUUUGUAUAUCAUGUGGAUGUCGAUGUUGUAGACUAUUAGUAGUUUUAUUUUACUUGCUCUGAUAGUCUUAUUAGGAAUCUACUCUUAUUUAUUCCUUGUUUAGUAGACGCCUUGUGUGCAUCGGGGGUGCUUGGUGUAUACAGCGAGUCUGUGCACGCGUCGGGCAGGCUUCCGCUGGGUCCGGGCGUGACAGAUUAUAUUGGUAUCAGAGUCUAAAGUUGAGUCUUAGUGGACCUAGCAAACUUUAGGCCAGUUGAAUGAUAAGAAUUAGGAGCGUGAGAGACGGAGACUUUUGAGACAAUUUGGCGAAAGUAUUAUGAUUGGGUCAUGUUUUAACUCCAAAAGUGUUGGGGUUUGGAUCGAAAUGAAUAACAUCUAUGUCCUUGCAAGAUCACAUUGGCGGCCGACAACGUGAUACCAGGGAAUAGUGGGAGGUCACUUCAUUACUUUCGUAUGAUUAGGAUUUUGUAUAUUAUGAGUGGGACUGCGAUAGCAAGGGUUGUGUUAACUUGUGCUUGUUAUGUUUGUUGCAGCUUGUGAUGUCGAUGACACGCUCUGUGACGGCCGAGGCGACUGAGCCAGAGAAGCCUGCAUCCUCCAAAUUCGGCGAGAUCCAGGAGUUAAGAGAGCAGCUGGCAACCUUAGUUGGCGUGGUGGAGCGACAGUCGAAUAUGGCGCUUCUUCAAGCCGAGGCCUUGCGCCGACAGGAUGAGGGAAUUAGAUGGUUAAAGAAUCUGUUGAUCCAACAGACGGCCGACCUCAGGAAAUUCCAUGAGACUUCAGGAUGGCAAUGGAGACCACCAAGAGUGACAAGUUACAUAUCGGUGGAUCAUCAAGGAAAUUAAAAUAAAAUCGAUCUCGGGGGCGUGGUCCUCUAGCUGGGAGAAGGACGUCGAAUCGUUGACCGCCGAUGCAAUAUGUGAUUUGCGGAGGUCCGCAUGCGCCCCCCACAGUGUCCUUGGCAGGGAAAAAAAUGUUUCUUGUGUGGCCAGGUAGGCCAUUUUCAAUCUGAGUGCCCGAGAAAUUGCAUGGUAGCAAAAGCAUCUAUACCGACUUUAUUGCGAGAGGCACACCGUGGACGUACACCUACAAAUUCGCUAGAGCAAGAUGUGGCGAUCGGGAUGAUUGCCGCAAGUAUCAUGUUGUGUAAUGCUAUUGGAAUUUGAUCAUGUUUGUGAUGAUUGCAUUACUUGCAUCCCUUGAUCCGCCGUUCGCCGAGUUGUUUAGCCUUGAUUCUUUUCUCGAUGCAUGUAGGAUGUUGGAUAAUCGGAAUUGUCAUUUUGACACCUGCUUAGUGAGAGGGUUUUGUGCGCCAACAAAUUGAUUGACCCUACUUGUUGUGGAGUGGUUGUGAUUAAGGUUCGACUAGUGAGGUACUUUGUACCGUUGUUUGCGCAAGCUGAAUCGACUCGCCUUGGGAACUUGAGCAUGACAUAGUGCAUCUUGAGGGUGUAAUCUCGUUGUUUGCGAUGACUGUUCCUUUACUUGAAUCAGGUAUUUCAUUAGAAGGGAAUUGCGACCUAUCUGGCCGAUAACCUUGAAUGAUUAAGAAUCCUCGGAAUGAAGGAUAUCUUUUUGAGGAGUUAUUGUUGUACUCCGAACCUAGUCACAAAAAUUAUAGGCUCAUUUGGUAGGAAGGCUUUUUGUGCCUAGUGUUUUGCUUUAUGGAGAAGCAAUCUCACUUGUUGUGAGACUGGAUGGGUCGUUUCGACUAUGUGUUGACAAUCGUGAUCUUAGUUGGGACACGAUUAAGUAUUUGGGCCCGUUGUUGAGACUCGUUGAUAUUUUCGAUCAGCCUUAAGGAUUAGGUGUACUCAAUAUAUUGAAUUGCAAUCUGAGUAUUAUCGACUUGUGUUGGAGUUUAAGGUUGCAUCUUAAACAGAUUUUAUGCUGGGUUGGGACAUUACGAACCUAUCGUGAUGCCACUUAAGCUUUUGGUGCUCCACCAGUUUUAGGGACUUGUUGAAUAAUGAUUCCAAGCCCUUCUGGAUGGAUUUAGAGUAUUGGUUGUUGAUGGCCGUGGAGUACCCUAGUGAUGAUGAAGACUUUGAAGAAUGCGUUAAGGUCGCAAAUACUUUGAUUAACGAAGUCCCUUGUCAAGACAAGGAUAUGGAUUUGUAGUAUUCUUUGACAUGGAAUGUCAACAAGGAUUUGUUUGGCGGACCCCUAGAGGGUAUGUGAUGGAUGACUGAGUAGGCAGAUUGAUGUGAAUUAGGUGUGAAACUCUCACAGUUUGAUUGAGUAUUGUGGAAAGCUCAAGGUGGGAAUUACCAAGUUGUUUAUUUUCCCUCAUUCAAUUCAUGUACAGUGGAAUUAAAUUCAUUUGGAAUGAACUACAUGAAAGGAGUUUAUGCUUCAGAAGCGGGUCGUGCAGUGAUGACUGUGAUUUUAAACUUGAAGGCAUUGACCAUAUCAAGGAAGAGAACUUAUUGAUGAAUUAUGUUUUGAUCCCUCCUUACCGGAUAAAAUGGAUCAAGUGGCGAUGAAUAACUUGAGCGCCCAAGUGGUGGGGAAGUUAUUGAUAAUGGGUAUUGAAGGAUAGCAGAACUAAGGGAUGUCCUUUUAGUGAACUCGUUGAGUUUUUGAGCAUUGCCCCCAAGCAGCAUUUAAAGAUAUGAAUUUAAGGUUACCGCCCUAGUAUUGGAAAUUGGAGGUGAUAUUGAAGCAUAGUAGUGCAUGCUGAUUGCUAGAUCCAACAGCAACCUCCAGUGAUCUAGUUGAGAUUACUGUCAACUUUCAUCAUCUACCGGAAGGGGUAUUACUAUGGAUAUUGGUAUUAGAUUGUUUCGUUAUCAAGCUAGACUUGAUUUUAUUUGGGAUGUUGUGAAUAGGAGCGGUAUUGUAACGUAUCGAAAUCUCGAUAGCGAUUAUCGAACUUUAGCCAAAUUGGUUAAAGUACCGAGAGAAAUGGAUGGACAAGUUCCAUUUAGCAUUCCAACAAGGUUGGAAGGGCUAAAAAUGAGUUUAAGAGGUGUUAGAAAGGUUUUAGCAUCGAUUGGCGCAAAAUAGAGUUGAAAACGGCGCAAAUACAACUUUCUGGGCAAAGUGUACCGGUACAACCAUCGAGUUGUCACCGGUACGGCCUUGCAGCCCGAGAAGAGAUUGCUCUCGGGUUUGAGUUUUCGCGGAAAUGUACCGGUACACCUCUGGUGUGUACCGGUACACUUUGGUAAAAUCCGAGGAGUUUGCUCUCGGGUUGCCUCUGCGCAGAAAAUGUACCGGUACAAAAUCCGGUGUACCGGUACACUUUGGGUCUGACAGUAAUAUAAAAAUUGCUGCAAUUAUGUAAAUGGGGAGGGUCUAAAUGCUAUUGUAGCAUUCUAAUAAGAGCCCAAUACCCCUUCUCACUCUCUCCCACAACCAUUCACCCCAUCCCUCUCAUUUCUCUUAUUUUUCUCUCUAGAGAGCUCUCCAAAAGGUGGAUUUGGAGGAGAUUUGAAGGAGAAGCUUGGUUUUGGUGGCUUGGAGAAGACCUAGGGCUCUCCUACCAGGUGGACUUGGGGAUAGCUAGUGGGCUAAGAUGAGUUUUAUGAUAAGUCUAGGAUUUGGAUUUGUACCAUAGGAAGUUAGGUUUUGGAGUUUCCACAAGUAUAGAAAUCUUCUUGAGGCCAUGAACACCAUGAAAUCCAUGGGUGCUUCAUGAGCUCACAUAGUGAAAAGAUAGGGUUAGCUUUAGAAGCCCUAGAAAUGGUUUAGAUGGUUCCAAAUGAGCUUCUAAAUAUUGGACAAGCUCUCUUUUGCUUGUUUUAAAGAUCAAAACCUAGCUUUGAGCAAAUGGUGUUGUUAGGGCACCCAAUUUGGAAUUUUUGCCUCCGAAUAUUUUUAAGGCAAAUUGACCUUGUAGAAACCUAAUUGGGGGUAUUCCCGACACGUGGGACAACUCAGUUUGACGUUACGAAAAGGUCUAGAUAAAUUUAUUGAGAAAAAGCCUAAUUUGGCUUCGUUUUGCCGUAGGCGAAAGAGUAGGGCUUCAAAAAUUCUAAGAAAUUCACCGUAGCACCUUUGCAACCAUACAAGGUGGGUGGUGCAUACCGAAGACCUCGGAAUUCCUUUUAUGUCUAAAGUGUUAUAUUUUAGCAUAUAUGUAUUGAGCAUAAAAUUUCAUAGUAGGGUUAUAUGUGAGCAUUUCAUUGCAUAUUGUGAGUACAAAUGCAUGUGAGUUACUAGCAAGAAUGUGAGAAUUUUAUAAACCCUAUGUAUGCAUGACAAGUGACAAGAACUUAGUGGACUUAGUAAACAAAUGUGAUAUUUUGACAUAGAAGUAGAAAGUGACAUUGAUGAGUCGAGAAUGCUAGAGUUGGAACACUUGAAAAUCAAGUGUGGCAUGUGUAUAAGAACAUAGUAGUGUAUAUGAUACUAGUGAAAGUAAAGAAUGCAAGUAAAGGUGUGAUAGUGACAUUAUGACAAUUUCAACCUUAGAGUUAAGGGUCAUAUGUGCAUGGUUUUCUUAUAGUUAAGGAAUGGAUUAAACUUGAUAUCCUUAUAAUUAAGGAUUGGAUCAUACUCACCUGUAAGUCCUUGCUCGAAUGUGGUAGCUCCCCCUCGGGCGAUGUGCUCCGGAGUUAUCAUCACUGGGUGUAGUAGUCUCCCCAGAGGACGGUCCCGUCGGGUGUAGUAGUCUCCCCGAUUUUUGGGAUUUGAGUUGUGAGUCUAUUGUGGGCGAAACCUACGGGCUAACCUAGAGAUUGGGUUCUGAGCAGUGACCUUGCAUUCAUCAUAAGUACUUUAUUGAGCAUAGCAUUAUUUAUUGUUCAGGCAUAUUAGCUGCAUUUGCUUUAGCUUGGUUACUAUCUCUCUAUUCUUCUAUUAUGCCUGAUUUAAACCUAGUGGGAAAGUCGGCGUGGUCGGUUGCUGAACCCACUGGAAACUUUGUUGUAGUUCUCACCCCACUAUUUCCACAGAGCCCGGACCGAGCGAGCCGGCGGAUGAUCGCGGUAAGGGCAUCGCACCCUAGAUAGAGACCACCUGAGAUGGUUUCUUAUUUUGGUUUAGUUGCAUAUCUUUAUACAUCACCUUUUUGUAUUUUGAUGACUAUAGAUGUUAAAGGAAAAGAAUAUGAAUGAUGUAAAAGACAAUCUAUAUUUCAAUGCAAGAACUUAUAUUUUGAGAUCAUGUGAUGUAAAAGAGAAGAAAAGAUGCAAAAAUGUAAAUGAUUUCCUAAGUGUAGUUUACUACUUUCACUAUUGGCUAUCGCUUGCCCUCGUGUAAGCCAUUGUGUAUGCUUCCGUUUUGUGCAAAAUUCAUACUCUAUUUGUACAGGAUGUUGAGCCUUGGGUGGACAGGAAAAACUCUGUCCGUUCGGCGUCUGUUUGACAGGGCCGAACCGGCCAAAUAGGACUAGGUUUGGGGCGUGACAGGUAUGGAGAAUUGCACCAUACUAUUUUGGAUUGUUCCGUCUACCUAUUCACCAUGCUUGAUCGUGGAAUAGAAUUGCACCAAACUGUCCAAUUUCUUGAUGAGGUUUGACCCUUGGACUUGGAGGAUCAUCGUAGGGGUUCGGGACAAUGAUUGGAAUUUCACGUCGCCUCCUAUUGGUAAGUGAUAAUCAUUCUGAGCACACCAGUUGAAUUUGGAGGGAUGUGUACCGGGUAUAAUCCUGAGAUUCUUCUGAUGGAUGAUUUCCAUUCAUAAGAACAAUGUAGAGAAUAGCUAAACUUCGCUCUCGACAAACUCGAGGAAAACGGGAAAUAGAAUUAGCCCUCUUGGAGGAAAUUAACUUCGUGUGAAUCAACUGAAGAACUUGUUGGACGAGCACCGAUAUGUCACGCCCCGAGGUCCCUUUUUGAUUUAAAAAUCAAUGCGGAAGUGCCCAAUUUUUUUUUUCUUUGAAAACCUUGACCUCCAAGAUAUGCUAGAUCCGCUACAAAUACAGGGAGUCCACUGUUCACAUGGACAGAGUCUCCCCUGUAUUUGCACGGCGUCGCACAAGUACAGAUACAACCAUAACGUAUGAACAUUCAUAUUCAUUCACCAUUCACAUCCACAUUCAUUUCAUCAUAAAUAUUCAUAAAUCCACAUCUAUUCGUUUAAAAUGUUUCCUACCCGGAAACUCAUUUUGAAACACUAGCAACCAGAAAAACAAGAAAAUCCUUUUUAAAACCGUUUCCCACACGGAAAUAUUUUUCUUUUAAAACACGCUGCCACGAGGGGUAGAAAAUUAUUUUUAACUCAUAAAACUCCGUAAACUUUAUUACAUUCAUAAACCAUAUGAACGAAAAUAAAAGGGCUUUUUUUGCAUUUAGCCCCUUGGCAAAUUUUUAUUUUAAAAUUAGCCCUGUCAAAAUUUAAUUUGCAAAAAUGGCCCUGGGCCUGCCACGCAGGCGCCACGUCAACGCCACGUGGGCAGGGCUGGGGCAGUGUGUUUAGUUGAACACGGUGAACCAUUCACCGUGUUCAAACAUGGUGAAUGGUUCACCGUAUUUAGUACAUAUUUUUUUUGAAAAGAGGAAUAGGGAGUAGGGAUGUCAAUAGAUAUGGAUAUCCGAAAUAUUAUCCGAAUCCAAACCCGAAUAAAUUAUAUAUAUAUACAUAAUUUAUUUUUAUUUAUUUAUACAAUAUAUAAAAUAUUUAAUUAUUUUUAUUUCUUAGAUCUACAUCCAACGGUAUAGAUUUUUAAAAUCUGCUGGGUUCAGGUUCGGGUUUCGAGUUUUUGGUCGAAUAUGGAUAUGGGUAUGAAUUUUUAAAAUCCGUCGGGUUCGAAUCCGGGUUUGGAUUUUAAUUUGAUUUUCGGGUUUGGGUUUGGAUUUUUAAAAAAGAGAAGAAAAUGAAUACAAAUUCUCUAUUCCUCUUUUCAAAAUACAAAAAAUACGUACCAAACACGGUGAACCAUUCACCGUGUUUAGACACGGUGAAUGGUUCACCGUGUUUAACUUCACUACCGCCCCCAGCCCCACCCGCGUGGCGCUGACGUGGCGCCUGUGUGGCAGGUCUAUGGCCAUUUUUGCAAAUUAAAUUUUGACAGGGCUAUUUUUAAAAUAAAAAUUUGCCAGGAGGCUAAAUGCAAAAAAAGCCCCAAAUAAAAUAAACCACUAAACUAUAAAUAUUGUCUAAGUCAUUUAUUAAAAGACAAUUUUGAGAGUUUAACCAAAUGACGGGUCGGUAGCUCUACCGAUCGCUAAGUGCGCUCCUCACGAACCGUCCUACUAGGACUCGCGACGUCACCUGAAAGGGGGGUGGGGGGUGAGAAUAUGUACACAUGUCUCCCCUCCCAGUGAGUACCGCAAGCCGACCAGGGCGAGGGGACUCACUAGCCACGGAGGAUAACAACAAGUAUAGAUAAUGGUAAUACAGUAGCAAUAAUAAACAAGAAAAACAAGAUGUAUAUAUGAAUCACUACCGCUGCUGUAUGUAUGCAUCAACCGGACGACUAGUCCAAAAGUACCCAAUCAGAAAUCAGCCAUAUUGGUCCGCACACCUCAGGCCUGUGCCACAAUUGCUCUAAACAGUAAAUGACCUCAGCAUAAGCUCUUGGGUCUGAAAGGAUAUAACCCGAGCAUAAACUCUUGGGCUCACGGGCUGGCACUCCCAACUAUUUUUUCGAAAAAAAAUACCCUCUUGUGGUGGAUCAGACCGUUGGUGUUCGUGAAAUGCGUACGAGCAGUGGCGAUCGAUGCUGAUAUGCUCAAUAGUCAAACAUCGGCAAUUAGCCGACAAUUCAACCCCUCAGGGUAUAUUGACCACGUAGGUCACCAAGUAGUCCAACCGACCAAGCAGAUCACAAUAACGGAUGCAGUGAAUCGAUCAAAUAGGUUACAGUACGAGAUACAAGAAUCGACUGACUAGGUCACAUUAUGAGAUACAAGAACCGACCGACUAGGUCACGAAUCUCACAUGUAAUCAUAAACCUGCUCUACUUCUACUCAUGAUGCUAGAUAUGAAAACAAUCAAGUAGAGCCUAAAAGGAAUAACAAAGGUGUUAGGCUCAACAUAAGGUAUAUGUAGGAUAAUAACAGGAAAAAAGGUAAGAAGAUAUCACCGAGCGUGCACCACUGUACCGACUUCGUGUCGAAGUACCCACCCGUACGUACGUAGCACUGGUCUCCCGACUGCGGAAGAAAGUCAACCGAACCUACGAAGGGUCCACCGAGUUAGUAUCCAACCCACAUAUAUGAAACACAAACUCACAUUCCCACCAGUAAACCCACGGGAAUCGGUUUUCCAAAAUCGAUUGCCGUAACUUGCCGGAAGUCCCAAAAAUCGUACUGGAACUCCGCCGGGACCCACGAACAGUCCGGAAACUCACCAACUCAUGCUAUGAGUCGUCCGCUACCACUAAACACAAUUAUUCGUGUGACUUGGCAGCAAACACACCUCUUCACCUCGAAACGAUUAUCGUCGGAUAAUCGUUCCGAUCCGGGUUCCCGGAAGUGUUAAAUUCGACACCAGAACCAACUGUCGCUCACCCGUCGUUUUUGAACCCUCGAAACGACAUGAGUGACCAGCCAACAUGGCUCAGCGACAACAUAAUUUACCAUGUGGUACCGUCGGAAGAAUUGCGAACUGAAAUCGCGUUCCGUCGGCGGAUUUCGUCGAAAAACACAUCGAAAAUGGACAUUCGAUUUCCGGAAAGGCCUGGGGCCUUGGACAACCAGUCCAGAGGUCACCCGAUACCUGCACACGGUUCCAAAAGCAACCACAAAAUGUAAAAUUACAUAUAAGCCCCUGCAACUAUAUAAAAUCGCAUCAUUUUCUGUGAUUUUUGGAGUUUUACGGCCCGACAGUGCAAACCGAGGACUUUGAAGACUGGCCGAGACACCCGCUGACAGGUCUCGAUGUGCCGGAGGCCGUGCUCGCAUUUCGGAGCAAGGCCAACCACUGUGGAGAGCGCAGGAGUGACGCGAAGUUCAGCGAAUAGCGCGCACAAUGCUAAACAACGCUUAUUUCGCAAACCGAGGCUUCGCUGAUCCCAAAGAAGGUGAGAACGAUGUUCGGCACGGAUCAUGGAUCAGCGUGCUCACUUUCGGGAGUGUUGGGGUGUCCUCGGGUCGCCGGAACAGCGACCCGAACCCGAAACAUUGCGCAGAAAAUAUAAAAUAUACUCACCAGAGCUUGGUGGAGCACGGGAUGGCCGGCGGCGGCCGGAUGGUGGGUGCGCCGGCAGAGGGAGCCUGCAGCCGGCCGGUGGGGGUCGGGGCUCGUGCUGGCCGGCGACGGAAGGCGGCCGGUGGCCCGGCGGCAAGGCACGAGCCCGUACACUGGCCUCGGUUCAAGGAGGCAGCGGCAGCCAGGCGGCGGCUUGGGGAGUGUCGGGGCGACAACGACUGGUCGCCUGAGGCCGUGGGAGGGCGGCGCGCCCGACGGUGGCUGGCGGCGGCGCGCAGAGGUCAUUGCGCUCGGCAGUUGUAAGGAGCUGGGGCCGGCCGGUGGCCCACGGGGACGACGGGGGCGGCGCAAGGGAGGCCGCCGGAGGUCGAGGAGGGCGGGGCGGCCUGUCUCGAAGUGGCAGCAGCUCGUGGCCGCGAGCUGACUCGAGCUUGGCCCGAGCUGCCUCGGGUGGCCGAGGGUGGCCCAGGCGGUGCCGGGGAAAGGGUCUCGGCCUAGGUAGGGGGCCCGAAGCGUGUGGUCGACUCCUUGAGGCCAUGGCUAAGAAGGUGGCAACCAGGUGGAGAGGGUGAUGGAGGAAAGGCAAAUGCCGAUUUUUCGGCGGCCGGCGGAGCUUGCCGACUGCCAAGGUGUGCGCGCGGCUAGGGUAGGGACUUGUUGGUGACACCUAGGGCGUAGCUGGGGAGCGAGCAUGUUAUAUACAUAUUGAGUAUUUUGCAAAACAGUCCGUUUUGCGCUUACGCACCUCGACAUUCGAAAUCACGCAAAACGAGACAUAAAAUAUAAGGCUUUUCGCGGAUUUUCUGUUUUGCCAAUUUCGACCACUUAGCGUACAAUAUGCGAUUCUCGGAGAUCUGUCCGUCGGAUUUUCGAUCGGAUUGUACCAGUGCAUUCAGCACGACUGGGGCAUCGAAUCCACAAUUUUGUUUUGUCAGAUUUGGUCACCGAUUUGCGACAAAACUCAUCCACUCUCCAAUUUUCCAAAAACCACACACACACACACACACACACACACACACACACACACACACACACACACACACAUAUAUAUAUAUAUAUAUAUAUGUAAAUCCAAUAAACCCCCUUUUACUCGAAAACCGUGCAUCAAAACCUAAUUCUGUCAGUUCCAUUGGGUUCAGGAUAGUCGAACUGUCGAGAACGAGCUAUUGGAUCACUAUGAACGGAGUCCAGUACGCAGUAGAAGCCACUCUAUUAAUUGGCCUCUCUAAAAAAUCAGAGUUACUAUUCACUUUAAGUGAUUAGUACAUGUCGCAUGACAUCUCGAUCUUAACUCGUUUUCUUCUGAAACUCGACAAGUGCUCAUGUAAUUAAAUUACACACAAAAAUAUCGUCAACCAAGGGUUUAUCUACACAACACAAAUCUCAGUCCUGACACGAUAAUAGGUGGAAUAUCUUACAAUGAGGAUUUGACUUCGAGGAACAAUUGUGGAAGACUUGGCUUGCGAUGUGCUAAAUUUUCGGAAUUGCGGGUUUUCCUAUGUGAAGAUGCCUUGUAGCAAUCUGGCAUGCUCGAGACUUUUGGGACCUGGUUUGUGCAUUGCUUGAGCGUUUCUUCCAUCUUUUCCAGAUGGGUUUACUAUUAGCCAUUCUUGAUUCUUAGCCAUUCUUUAUUAUUAGCCAUUCUUUAUCGCUAGCCGUUCUCUAACUUUAGCUAUUGCUUACUUACUAUUCUUUCCUAAGGUUACUUUACCUUAGCCAACUAUACCACUCAACUCGGUCUUGAGUCAAUCAUCUGUGGAUAAUCCGCGCUCUGUCCGGCUCGAGGUGAAGGAACUCUCACAUACACCUCAGCCUUCAAUCCACAAAUCACAUCGCCCAACGGGUCGCCCAGAGCUACGUACACCCGUGGUCAGGGAUCUCCCGGUGGGAGAGGAACAUGCCGCAUACACCCGCAGCCGAGAUCCUCGAUAGGGAGAGGAACAUGCCACAUACACCCUAGCGCUCAAUCUCAAGCUCAUGGCAUACCGGGCGAGGAGAACCACACAUACCCGUUGAAUCACUGCCGGGCAAGGAGAACCACACAUACCCGUUGAAUCACUGCCGGGCGAGGAGAACCACACAUACCCGCAGUUAUGAUUCUAUUUAUGCCAACCUACUUGCCGGGCGAGGAGAACCACACAUACCUGUUGAAUCACUGUCGGGUGAGGAGAACCAACAUACCCAUAGCUUUGAUUCACUUGCGCUCGGUCGCAAGUCUCAUCCGCUACACUAGCAGCCCUCAUUCCUAGGGAUUCCGGAAUCCACAUUCAUAUCUCUAGGGUUGGUCUUAUACCCUAUAAUGUCGACCUAUCUAGGUCCAAGCCAUUACUCGACCUAAGUUUAAUACAUUAGGUCUAAUGUCACUAUGUUCAUAGCCUAGGUUCUAUAACACUAGGUUCGAUGUUCUUUACUACCUAGGUUCAUUUGACUCUAGGUUCAAUGCCACUAUACUCAUAACCUAGGUUUACUUAAUUCUAGGUUCAUUGCCACUCAUGAUUCACCUAUGUUCAUUAACACUAGGUUUUAAUGCCACUUAUUAUACUUGUCAUCCUAGUGUUUGAAGUAAAAAAAAAAAAAAAAAAAAAAAAAAAAAAAAAAAAAAAAAGAAAAAAAGAAAAAGAAAAAUUGGGGUAAAGUAGUUCUAAUCAAAACUGAUUAAAUUCAGACUCAUACAAUCCUAAUGGGUCUCAUGUUGACCGAGAAAUUUUGGGGCCAAUAAUUAUAAUUUAAAUCCACAAUAAGCUCAUUCAUCAAUGUAAGUUGGUGGACCUCAUGAAAGCCUUUUAAAAUUUUAGACCUAUACAAUAAUUCGGACCUCAUUUCAGCUCAUUAAAUAUUAUCAUUUGUGCCUAAUAAAUUUCAUUAAAGUGGGCCUGAUCAACGACGGCCCAUAUCCAUACCCUAUAAAAUAUCUGUUCGAAAUUCAAUUUCAAACCACAACCCAUUCAAAAUUCGAUUUCGAAUUUUGAAUCCCCAACCAAUUUCCAAAAUAUCCUCCAACCAUCCAACAAUCUAUUCAAAAUUUGAUUUCGAAUUUCGAAUCCCGAACCAACUCCCAAAAUAUCUUCCAACCACCAAACAAUCGAUUCAAAAUUCAAUUUCGAAUUUCGAAUCCCCAACCAAUUCCCAAAAUAUCUUCCAACCAUCCAACAACCUAUUCAAAAUUCGAUUUCGAAUUUCGAAUCCCCAACCAACUCCAAAAAUAUCUUCCAACCAUCCAACAACCCAUUCAAAAUUCGAUUUCGAAUUUCGAAUCCCCAACCAACUCGAAAAAUAUCCAACAACCAAUUUAAAAUUCGAUUUCGAAUUUCGAAUCCCCAACCAAUUCCCAAAAUAUUCUCCAACUAUCUAACAACCGAUUCAAAAUUCGAUUUCGAAUUUUGAAUCCCCAACCAACCUCCGAAAUAUCUUCCAACCAAUCACAACAACCGAUUCAAAAUUCGAUUUCGAAUUUCGAAUUCCCAACCAACCCCAAAUAUCUUCCAACCAACCACCACAACCGAUUCAAAAUUCGAUUUCGAAUGUCGAAUUCUUAACUGACUCCUCAAAAUAUCUCUCGCCACCCCUCCUAUUAUAAAUAUGAGAAUCGAAAUCAAAUGUCGGACGAUGGACGGAGAAGAGAAAAAAAAAAAAUAGAUAGAUUGCUACACACGUUCCGACGUACAAAAAAAAAUUCAAAGGAAGAGAGAUCGCCGAGCCGCGGAAAAGAUGAGAGAUCGUCGAGCCGUGGAAAGAAUGAGAGAUCGUCGAGCCACGGAAAGGAGGAGAGAUUGCCGAGCCGCUUCAUCCGAUCCGUCAUCUGAUCAACAGGUAAAGACAAAAAAAAAAAGAACGAAGAAAAAAGAAAAAAUAUAAUAAAACAUAUCAAAAAAUAUAAAAAAGAUAAAAAAAAUUUCUUUUCUCCCCCAUUUUCUUUUUCCUUUUUUUUAGGUUCUACUACCGUAGUCAUCCAUACCGUCUAAAUGAUUUCGAUGGGAGAGUGGAGGGGAGCCAAUGGCUUCCCGUUUCUUCGGACCUCUCAAUACUCUAUUCAAAGCCGUUAAUUGAUGGAAUGGGUGAUCUACAUUGCUGUGACCACCUCUAGCAUCGACGGUUUGGUAUUUUCGAAAGAAGAGGGGAGGGGAAUCUUUGAUUCCCUGUUUCUUCGGACCCUUCAACAUGUUUUGAAAAUAUCGAGCCAGAUCCAACGGCCUCACAGAUCCGCGCCACCGUCAUCAUCUUCACCGACGUCAUCUCCAGCAUCGCCGGUUUGAUAUUUUCGAAAGAAGAGGGGAGGGGAAUCUUCAAUUCCCCGUUUCUUUCGGACCCUUCAGCAUCUUUCAAAAAUGUCAAACCAAAUCCGACAGCUGAAUAGAUCCGCGCCACUGUCAUCAUCUACACCGACGUCAUCUCCAGCAUCGCCGGUUCGGUGUUUUCAAAAGAAGAGGGAAGGGGAAUCUCCGAUUCCCGUUUCUUCGGACCCUUCAACAUCUUUCGAAAAUGUCAAAUCAAAUUCGAUGGCCGAACAGAUCCGCGCCACCGUCAUCAUCUUCACCGACGUCAUCUCCAGCAUCACCGGUUUAGUGUUUUCGAAAGAAGAGGGGAGGGGAAUCAAAGAUUUCCUAUUUUUUCGGACCCUUCAAUCUUUUCCGAGAACAUUGAAUCAAUUCACGAAACUUUCAGACCAGCUUAGAUCCAAAUCAAAUCAAAAAUCAAACGGGGAUUUCUUCGGACGCCAAAUCAUAAAUCAAACGGGGAUUUCUUCGGACCCCAAAUCAUGAAUCAAACGGGGAUUUCUUCGGACCCCAAAUGAAGAUCAAAACGGAAAUUUCUUCGGAACCCAAAUCAAAUUAGAAUCAAUAAGGGGAUUUCUUCGGACCCAAAAUCAAGAUCAAAAUGGAAAUUUCUUCGGACCCCAAAUCAAAUUAGAAUCAAUAAGGGGAUUUCUUUGGACCCCAAAACAAACUAGAAUUAAAAAGGGGAUUUCUUCGGACUCCAAAUUAAAUUAGAAUCAAAAAAGAAUUUCUUCGGACCCCAAAUCAAAUUGCAAAAUCAAAAAGAGAUUUCUUCGGAUCCCAAAUCAAAUUGCAAAAUCAAAAAAGGAUUUCUUCGGACCCAAAAUCAAAUUACAAAAUCAAAAGAGGAUUUUUCAGACCCCAAAUCGAAUUGCAAAAUCAAAAGAGGAUUUCCUCGGACCCGAAAUAGAAUUGAAAAGAAAACCAAGUCCACAUAAGAAUCCAAAUCCGGACUCAAAUCCAAACCAAGCCUACAAAUAAAAUCCAAAUCCAACCCUAACCAAGUCCACAUAAGAACCCAAAUCCGGAUUCAAAUCCAAGCCAAGUCCACAAAUAAAAUCCAAAUCCAACCCAAACCAAGUCCACAAAUAAAAUCCAAAUCCAAUCCAAACCAAGUCCACAUAAGGACCCAAAUCCGAAUCAAGUCCACUAACAAAACCGAAACUUGAACCCAAAUCCAAACCAAGUCCACAAAUAAAAUCCAAACCCAAACCCAAAACUCAAAUCUAAACCCAAACCCAAAACCCAAAUCCAAACCAAAUCAAGUCCACAAAUAAACCCAAAUCCAAAAUCCAAAUCAAAUCCAAACCCAAACCAAAUCAAGUCCACAAAUAUACCCAAAUCUAAACCCAAACCCAAAACCCAAAUCCAAACCAAAUCAAGUCCACAAAUAAACCCAAACCCAGAACCCAAAUCAAAUCCAAACCCAAAUCAAAUCAAAUCCACAAAUAUACCCAAAUCUAAACCCAAACCCAAAACCCAAAUCCAAACCAAAUCAAGUCCACAAAUAAACCCAAACCCAGAACCCAAAUCAAAUCCAAACCCAAAUCAAAUCAAAUCCACAAAUAAAACAGAAAUUCAAAACCCAAAUCAAAUCCAAACCCAAACUAAACCAAGUCCACAAAUAAAACCCAAACCCAAAACCCAAAUAAAAUCCAAACCCAAAACACAAAUAAAAUCCAAACCCAAACCAAAUCAAGUCUACAAAUAAACCCAAACUCAAAUCCAAUCCAGCCCCCAGAUAACCCUAAAUCUAAAUCCAAUCAUAAAUAGAACCCAUAUCCGUCUUCCAACUUGGAUUCAUGAACCAAGUUCAUAACCUAAAUCCCAUGAAAAAGGAACCAAGAACCAAGUUCAUGAACCCAAAUUCCUUGAAUCAUGAACCAAAUCCUAUAAUCAAGUUCGUGAACCAAGUCCAUACACCAUAUCCCAUGAACCAUGUCCAAGUUCAUGAACCAAAUCCCAUAAACCAUACACCAAGUUCAUGAACCAAAUCUCAUGAACCAUAAACCAAAUGCCAUAAACUAUAUCCAAGUUCAUGAACCAAAUCUCAUGAACCAUAUCAAAUGCCAUAAACCAUAUCCAAGUUCACAAACCAAAUAUCAUGAAUCAUACAACCAUACACCAAGUUCAUGAACCCGUAAACCAUACCCAAGUUCAUGAACCAAAUCUCAUAAAUCAUAAACCAAGUUCCCGAACCAAAUAAACCAAAUUCAUGAAUCAUGAACCAAGUUCAUAAACCAAGUUCAUAUACUAAACCCAUGAACCAUAUCCAAGUUCACGAAACAAAUCUAAUACCCAAAUCUCAUGAACCAUACACCAAGUUCAUGACUCAAAUCUCAUGAACCAUGUACCAAGUUCAUGAAUCAUAACCAAACCUCAAAAACCAUAUACCAAGUUCAUGAACCAUAAACCAAACCCCAUGAAUCGUACACCAAGUUCAUGAACCCAAUCCCAUAAACCAUACUCAAGUUCAUGAACUAAAUAUCAUGAACCAUACAUCAAACCCUAUGAGACAUAAACCUCAUGAACUAUACACCACAUCCUAUGAACCAUAUACUAUACCCACGAACCAUGUCCAAGUUCAUGAACCAAAUCCCAUAAACCAUACACCAAAUUCAUGAACCAUAAACUAUGAACCAUAUCUAUGAACCAAAUCUCAUGAACCAUAAACCAUAUCCCAUGAACCAUGCCCAAGUUCAUAAACCAAAUCUCAUAUACCAAACCCAAUGAACCAUAUUCAAGUUCAUGAAACAAAUCCAUUACCCAAAUCUCAUGAACAAUAAACCAAGUUCGUGAACCAAAUGAAUCAAAUUCAUGAACCAUGAACCAAAUCUACAAACCAAGUCCAUAAACCUCAUGAACUAUAAACCAAGUUCAUGAACCAUGAACCAUGAACCAAGUUCAUAAAUCUCAUCCAUAAACCAAAUCUCAUGAGUCAAUACCCAAAUCCCAUGAACCAUGUAUCAAAUUCAUGCUCAAAGCUCAUCAUGAACCUUUUAUUUACUCUAGUACAUAUACCUAGAGUAAAAAAAAAUCGAAUAUCGACUACCCCUAAUACAUAUACUUAGGGUUAAGUCAAUUGCCUUAGCAUAUAUAAUUAAGAAAAAACAUCUCCAAAUCGACAGAGUUCUAAAUUAUAUACUUAGAAUUCAGUCGAAUGAUAUCAAAUUCAUUCGAACUCUAACACAUAUACUUAGAGUUCAUCCGACUAACCCUAAUAUAUACCCUUAGGGUCUAGUCAACCUUUCACUCUAGCACAUAUACCUAGAGUGGGUAGUCAAACCAAGCUCGACUAGUCCUAACCUAUAUACUUAGGGUCUAGUCAGCCUUUUUGCUCUAGCACACUUACCUAGAGUGAAAUUCAUACACGAUUGUGUUCUAAUACAUAUACUUAGAGCUCAUGAAACCAAAUCUGACGAACCCUAGCAUAAUACCUUAGGGCUUAGUCAGAUCCUCACUCUAGCACAUAUAACUAGAGUGAAAAAUAUAUUAAACUCGGUUAAUCCUAAUACAUACACUCAAAAAUUAGCCACUCUGUACUUUCGAAUAAUAUCAAAUCCGACCUACCUCAAUACAUAUACUUAGGGUUUGGUCACAUCUCCACCUUGGAAUAUACAACCAAGGUGAAUAUAAUUGAACUCUAAGACAUAUACUUGAGCAAAUUAGACUAUAAUAUAUAGAGUUUAAUAUCGACUACGUCUCAACAUAUAUAUUUAGGACCUAGUCAAUCUCAAACCCAACUGAAUCCUAAUACAUAUACUUAUGAUUCAAUAAAUCAAGAUACGAUCCAUUCCAUCCCAUCUUUAAAGGUCUCUUAAUCGAAGGUGCCCCAAUGCCACAGGGGGUAAUUAACAAUAGAUGCUUGCAUCUAUUGGAAGCCAUGGACCCGCAAUACCUGAUACCCAUAUGCAUAUAAAAACUAAUCUGAAUCAUGAAUACUACCCCACGGCAAAAUCCAUCGAUCGUGCGAGGUGUGUCAUUCGUGGUGGCAGACAAAAUGGCAUGCCCGGUGGGACUUGGCGUCUCCUUCCAUCUUCGAGACCUUAAAAAAAAAAAAAAAAAGGAGAAAAUGUUUCCUAACCACUACCUUUUUUGCAACAGGAAAUGACACCAACAUCAAAGAACGUUGUCGCUGCGUCAACAAACUCAAUGAUAUUAGAGGCGGGUUCGCGAGUCUGCUUGCCCACAUCUGUCCUGACUUUUGGAACUGCAGGUGCCUCAAUUCAAAAUUGAGGCACUAUUCCAGAAGCUGUUCGAGCUGCUAUCAUGGCUGUAACUUCCACCACUGCUGGGGGCAUGACCAUUCCAGCCGGCCCUUCACAGGAUGUGUCCAAUGUGGUCAUUCCUCGGCUGCCAUCUCGAGGAAAACGACCCAAUGUGGUUUUCCUGACACUAUGAAUUUUCUGACACUGUGAAUUUUCUACUAAAAUAUCAGCCCCGUUCCUUACAGAAAAUUCUAAAUCUUCUAUUUUCUUUCCGAUUUUAGCACAACUCGUUUCCAACUUAUAUUUUACUUCUUUAAGUCCAAUAAAAAUAAUAUUUCACACUAUUUUCAUUUAUAUUUACUUUUAUAUCAAGAAGUCGAUAAAUUACAUUCUCCACCCCUUAAAAGAGUUUCGUCUGUAAAACUCAAGCCACGCCUCGAUUUAGCCCCUCGAGCAAUUGAGGGCACCAAUGCACUUUCCCACUCCGGAAUGGCCUCACGUUCAUCGGAACGAUUCAAAGGCCCGCUAUGGAGGAUACGAAAUCAAACACAUACACGUUUGCAAGGCGCGGUUCAUAAAGUACAUUACGGUCUCCAUAACUCUCGGUGGCAGCGCAAGUCGAAACAGGGCUACUCUACGUGCUCCAACACCACUCGCCACUUGGCACACAAGGAACUCUUCCUUGCAUUUACCUUCCCUUCAGGGAAUACAUUCCAAUUCAAUCACCGACAUUACUUAAAAGCAAUAUCACUGGUGCAUCGCUCCAUCGUGAGUGCUCCAAUUCCGCACUGACCUUUAGCUCUAACGCGAGAUGGCCUAAAACUCCACGUGGCUUGCCACUAGCUCAAGGUCUCACCAAGAGCACUUCAUCUUCUGAUACCAUAUGCCACGGUCAAUAUCAAAUCACUUUUGCAACGAGCUCACAUGAAUGCUUCGUUCAUGAAUUCGAGUCAAACUCCUCGAUAAGGCUAUUCGCCAAAUCGCUUUUCUCGAUUUACUGCGAAGUACCGGUACCAACCUAGUUCCGUACCGGUACUCAGCCCCACAGUGACCAAACCCGAAAGCAAGCCUCUCGGUUUGCCUGCAUGGUACCAGUACCUCCUUUAGUAAUCGGUACAUAGAGCCUAGGCUUCAGCUUUGGCAGUGCUUGGCUCUACUUCGAGCCGAGCAAUGCUAAAGCGCAUUAGUCUCACUUGGAACUUGACUUUAACCUUUCCAACAUUGUUUCGUAUGGACUUUGUCCAACCAUCCCUCUCGCCACGCUUCGGUUAUUUUGACCAAAAGUGGUUUAACACGACGAGGGUUUAUUAAUUUCUUGAAGGUCAUAAGGGCAGCCAAAGCUCGCUCCCUCUCCACCUCCACUACUGAAAUACUAAAAGUCGGAUUCCCCGACCCCGACGAAAACACCUCCGUCGCGACUCCCGGCCGUACUCGACGGGCCGAAACUGGUGUGAUCACCAGCUGAUCCAUUAUGUCUUGGAGUCCUCUAAUCCGCUCCUCCUGGCGCAUAGCAGCCUCCUGCUGACACUGCACCACAUCGGCUCGUUGCCUCACCACUUCCACGAGAGUGGCCAACAGCUCGCGAAAUUCCAAGUCUCCGCUCGCCUUAAAUUUCUCAGGGACACCACUUGUCCCAUCCCACACCGAUCUAGAAAGAGAUCGUCUAUUCUUAUCACUCGGUUUCAUGUUGUGUGCACCCAACAUGAACACCCUCGGUUGAGAAUAAACCCCACCUUUAAUCUACCUCUAACAUCCGUCUCAGAGGUUUACAACACAACCCAAUCUUUUAUUCUUUUGCCACAAGUCACAAGUUCUCGUCUCUCAAGAGCCUUAACCUCUACGGUUUACUAUCCUAUGGUCUCCUAGGUCCAACUAAACGGUUUUCUUUAUAUUCUUUUAUGUUUUUUUUUAUGCUCUGAUAUCAUCUUAUCUGUUACGCCCCGAGCCCGCCUAUUUGGUCUGAUUCGGGCACGCCAACAGACUGCCGAACUGACAGGAUUUUUCCUGUACCGCGGACAGAGUCUCCCGUGUACGUCCAAGGCGUCACAAUCCAUACAAUGUGCGAGGUUCCAACCAGGAACGGCAUUUAAACACAGAUUGUACAAGGAAGGUAUCAAAAACAUAAAUGCUAAAUUAUUACAAGCAUACAACUCGCAUACCGUUAUAUAUUACAUUUUCAUUCUCUUUUUAGCUUCCAAAUACAAUCAGAUUUGACAAUUAUUACAACUUGGUUCUUUUCCUUUUUACAACCCUACGUUAUGCCGACUCAGGGUACAUCUAUCUCUGGUCUCAGUGGUAGGGCGUUAUCUACGGAGCUACGCCCUUUCCUCGCGCCGCCGUGCCGCUCACAUGUGAACCUGAAACCCCCAAAACAACGUGGGGUGAGAACUAUUGUUGUAACACACUGGACCUUUGCAAAUUGCGAGGUUCGAGUGAUUAGCUGUGCUCUGAGCUUUUCCAGAUUUUCUGGUAGGUCGUUGACUGUGUUCCGACCUAUGGCACGUGUCCCGAGGAGUGUGGUACGAAGCCUUGCACCAAAACCCAAAAAUUUGGAUUUUGGUCAGCUCUCGGAUUGGCUGUCUGGCUGGCUUGUACCGGUACAAGGUUGUGCUUGUACCGGUACAGAGCCGAGAACUCGCAAACCCGAGCCUCGGGUUUGCAUUUUCGCAGGUCUUGUACCGGUACAAGGGUGGUCUUGUACCGGUACAAUGUUGAUGGUUGUACCGGUACAGCCAUCGGGCCUGUACCGGUACAGUGCCGCAGAACCGCGCACCCGAGCCUCGGAUUUGGAUUUUCGUAGCUCUUGUACCGGUACAAGAUCCCGUGUACCGGUACAAGGAGGCAGAUUUUGCACAGUUUGCUCUGCAGGGGCUUAUUUGCGAUUGUGGGCUUCUUAUAUCAGCACCCACGCCCCUAGGGCUCUCCUCUGGGCUGAGAAGAGUGGAGAACCAGGUAAGGGAGCUCCCCACACCAUCUCUUUGGAUUUGAUUCCCAUUUUGCAUGGUUUUUGAUGGAUUUUCCUCUCUUUUUCCCUUUUGGAGCUAUUUCCACCAUUGUUGGAGCUUGGGACUUGGAUUUGGAGUUUGAUUGAGGGAAGAUACUUGAAGUGUGAGGACUUUGAGCUGGUUUUGAGGCUUCUAAGAGGUAAGUGGCAAGAUCCUUUCCUCUAAUCUUGGUUUUUAAAGGUUUCAUUGAGAUGAAACCCUAGAUUUGGGAUUUUAGGGUUUAUUUUGGGCAUUUUCGUUUUAGGGCUUUUGAAGCUCAAUUGGUUGGAUUAGAACCUUCCUCUAGGUUAGAUUGGAAGGGUUCUAGCUCUCUUUUGGAGCAUAGGAAGAGAUUUCUUCUCUUGAGGUGAGUUUUGCCCUUUUUGCUAGAUGCUUAAUGUUUGAGCUUUUUGCUCUUCGUAUCGAUUGGAUGACACUCUUUUUGAUGUUCCUAGGGUGCUAGAAAGCUUGUAGAAACCUCCGUUGGAGUAAACGAAAAGCUUCGUUGUCGUCGGUGGGUUUGACCUAGCCUAUAAUAUGAGAAAAUCUCAUAUUUGGUGAUAAGUGCUUUGUUUACUAAUAAUUCAUGCAUUUUCAUAUUAAAUGUAUUUAUUAUGAUUUUUAGAAUGCUUAAAAUGCAUAAGUUAUAUAUGAUGAAUUUUUGGACCUCUAUGUAGUAGAGAGUUGCUUGGGAGAUCUUUGGUUGCAUUUAGCAUUCUAUAUGAGGUUUGAUUUCAUGGUUCUAGAGAGUAAAUGAGCUAUGAUUCAUGCGUUUAAACAUAAGUUUAAUUGGGACAUGAAAGAUGACAAUUGCUACAAUUGUAGGCAUCGAACUUGAUAUCAUGUGAAUUGGAGAGCUAAUGUCAUCAAGCGGCAUUGAGCUCAGGACUUGUGAGAACCUAGUGGAUAGGGCCAUUGAGGGAUUUGGAAAACAUGUUGAACAUCAAAUUGCCUAAGUGUCAUCAAGGGGCACUAGGCGUAGCAAAUGUUGAAACUUCACAUUGUGACUUAGACUAGAUCUUCGGGAUGCUAGUUAUGAUACCAUGUUAGAGACAUGAGGAUUGGAUAUUUGAGACUUGGACUAUGCUUGCUUGCCAUUUGUGCUCAUUCGCACAUGCUUGUGAGGGUCGCUCCCUACAAGCCGGCACUCCGGAGUUAGCCUACGCGACUUUUGAUCGCUCGUGCGGUAUUGAGAAGCCUACGGGGUCGAGUGGGACAGACACAUUCCAAGAGUAGGAAUGUCGGGCUACCACAGGCACUUAGGCGGCACAAGCUGGACUACCUUGGGUAGGUCCCUAAUUGGAAAUGGAAAUCGACACGGGGUUGAGGAUGAAUGAUCACUACUAGAUAGACUUAGUAGUUGGGUUACAUUUACAUGCUUUUAGCAUAGUGUGAGACAUGUAGUAUACUUGGUUGCCAUAUUAGAACUUCUACAUCAUGUAUUGACAAAGGUUAACAACAUUAAACUAGUGUGAUUGGACUUAAUUGUAAUGAUAGAAUAGAUGUACAUUUUGGUUGACAUCAUGCUUAUUUGAGACACAGUAGACUAGCAUUUCAUUUAUGCUUUCUUUCAGCAGUUUAUGUAUAUGCUCCUUAUUGCUUUUAUUAUUAUCGUUACUUACCCUUGUUUUUGGGGCCUAGUGGAGCAAGAGCUGAGGUCAGUAAUUGCCCACUGGGAACUAUAAAUUAUAGUUCUCACGCCCUCUUUUUCUCGAUGUUUUUCAGAGCCUUCCACGCAGGGAGAGGCCAGGGAUCGCGGAAAGGGUAUCGCCUCGGGCUAGCGUGCUUACCGAGGGAUCGUUCGAUAGGUGGUCUACCUCUCGUGUUUUUUUUUUGUGAGAGGUUGAGAGUUGUACCCGUAUAUGUAUAGAGACCACCAUUUUUGUAUUAGAGACGGUUAUUGUACUACUUAUGGUUAUCUUUGUUUGACUAGCUUUAUUUUUUUUACUUUGGAGUAGAUGAUAGAACUUUACUGGCUCUGAUAUCAUUAGUUGCUAGUUAUUUCACUACUUUUAUUUGUUCUAUCUCCUGCUUUACUUCCGCUUUUGUUGUAGACGCCUUAUAUGUGUAGACAUAUGGCGGGUCUGGGCACGCUACCGGGAGGGCCUCAGCCGGUCCCGGGGCGUGACAAUUGUCUAUAGUUUCCAGUGGGUACGACCACCCAAGGAAAGAGCUCGACCGACCAGGUCCAAAGGAGACACUGUAAACAUGUUAGUCCAACAGAUAUAUAUAACAUCAUAUAAUUCAUGUUCAUGCCUCACAACAUACAACUAUGCAACUUAUGCAAGUAAUUCACUUAAUUCUACAUACUAUCGCUUGCCAUUCUUUACUAUUAGCCAUUCUUGAUUCAUAGUCAUUCUUUAUUAUUAGCCAUUCUUUACCGCUAGCCGUUCUCUAACGCUAGCCACUGCUUACUUACCAUUCUUUCCUAAGGUUACUUUACCUUACCCAACUAUGCCACUCAACUCGGUCUUGAGUCAAUCAUCUGCGGAUAAUUUGCGCUCUGUCCAUCUCGAGGUGAAGGAACUCUCACAUACACCUUAGCCUUCAAUCCACAAACCACAUCGCCCAACGGGUCGCCCAGAGUUGCAUACAUCCGUGAUCAGGGAUCUCCCGAUGGGAAAGGAACAUGCCGCAUACACUCGCAGCCGAGAUCCCCGAUAAGGAAAGGAACAUGCCACAUACAUCCUAGCGCUCAAUCUCAAGCUCAUGGCAUACCGGGCGAGGAGAACCACACAUACCUGUUGAAUCAUUGCCGGGCGAGGAGAACCACACAUACCCCCAGUUAUGAUUCUAUUUAUACCAACUCACUUGCCGGGCGAGGAGAACCACACAUACCCGUUGAAUCACUGUCGGGCGAGGAGAACCAACAUACCAACAGUUCUGAUUCACUUGCGCUCUGUCGCAAGUCUCAUCCGCUGCACUAGCAGCCGCUGCACUAGCAGCCCUCAUUCCUAGGAAUUCCGGAAUUCACAUUCAUAGCUCUAGGGUUGGUCUUAUACCCUAUAAUGUCGACCUAUCUAGGUCCAAACCAUUACUCGACCUAAGUUUAAUACAUUAGGUCCAAUGUCACUAUGUUCAUAGCCUAGGUUCUAUAACACUAGGUUCGAUGUUCUUUACUAUCUAGGUUCAUUUGACUUUAGGUUCAAUGCCACUAUACUCAUAACCUUGGUUUACUUAACUCUAGGUUCAUUGCCAUUCAUGAUUCACCUAUGUUCAUUAAUACUAGGUUUCAAUGCCACUCAUUAUACUUGUCAUCCUAGUUGUUCACACUUAAGAUUCUUAAUUGACAUGCCAUUCAAUAUUCUUAUUCUCCUAGUUAUCCAUACCUAGGAUGUAGUUUACAUCUUCUUGCUUUCCGAUGUCGAGUUCUCUAUCAACCUAGAGUUAUCGACCCAAGUUCACGUUUAUGUGAAUCUAACAUCUAUCUCAUGCAUUCGUUUAUUAGCAUAUAUCUCAUGCAUUCAUUUAGCAUACAUCAUGCAUUCACCAUUAGCAUACAUCUUAUACAUUCACUUAGCAUAUACUUUAUACAUUCAUUUAGCAUACAUCAUGCAUACCCAAUUACCAUAUAUUUUAUACAUUCACUUAGCAUCUAAUUCAUGUAUUCAUUUAGCAUAUACUCUAUGCAUUCACAAUUAGCAUCUAUCUCAAUCAUGCAUUCUUUUAGCAUAUAUCCCACGUAUUUUUUAGCAUUUCUCAUAUGCAUACUUUAGGAUCUAGAUCAUACAUUCGCUUAGCAUAUAGCUUAUGCAUUCUUUAUUAGCAUCUCAAUCAUGCAUUCUUUUACUAGCAUACAUCUUAUGCAUUUACAAUUAGAAUCUAACUCAUGCAUUCACUUUAGCAUUUAACUCAUGAAUCUAGCUCAUAUUUAACAUCUAGCUCAUGUUAUUUAGCAUAUAUCUCAUGCAUCCAUUCAUUGGCAAUUAACUAUCACUUCAUGCAUUAAUAAUGAAACACACUUCACUUUGGCAUGGAAGCGACCUAAUUGUUUUGGUAGAGCACAACCCACCUUAUAUCGCUCUCCGAUUGUUUGUAGCCAUUUGCAAUCGAGCUCCCGCGGCACAUGUGAUCCGGUUCGGCUCGUACGCGCAAACGAUCACCGAACGCCCAACAAUCCGCAACGUAGGGUCAUCACGGGCUCAACUCUAACCUUCAAUUAGAGGAUUAAAGGGUUAAAUGAGAUCAAAACCCUUAUUUACUAAAACCCCAAUUUGAAGUACUAGCCUUAAUACAUCCUCAAAUACCCCAAAAAUAUAUGGAGUAACUUGUUUAGAACACUCUAAGGACUACUAGAAUAUCAUUCAUGAAGGAUUUAACCAAAUCCUAAACUCUUACCAAAAUGCGAACGCCGAGUCGGAAGUACGCCGCUCAACCGGGCGCACGAAGACUCGAACUGUCGCUCCACACGUGUUCCCAAGCCCGCUCUCAGCCAAGCCUCCAAAUUUGGAAGAGAGAGAUGAAGAGAGUAGGGAGAUAUCUAAACAGAGAAAUGGAGGGUUUCCUCUCCCUCACCAUACGUGUGUGUGUGUGUGUGUUGUGUUCGGUUGAGAAGAAAGGUGGAAGAAGGAAAUGGGAAAAAGCCCAUUUUUAUAAGUCAACACCCCUCAACAUAUACUAAACUUCAGUUUAGCAGCUCAGAAUCUGUUCCUUUUCGCCGGAGCCCUUCUAAACGUCCGUUUAUGCUCAAAUUUGACAGUCAGACUUGGUUUAAGCUAAUAGAAAGAAAUAUAUCUUAACUUUUCAGUUUUAACUAUUUUUGGUCACCGAAAACUCUACCGACUAAAAUCUCUAGCGGAUAGCAGUUAGAUUUUAUUUUUCACUUUCCGGGUGUCGGAAUGAUAUGAAACUUUAAAUCUAACCUCAUAAAAAUAAUUCCGACAUAUUCUUCAAUUUUUAUAAUUUUCUGACACUGUGAAUUUUCUGCUAAAAUAUCAGUCUCGUUCCUUACAGAAAAUUCUAAAUUUUCUAUUUUCGUCCGGAUUUCAGCACAAGUUAUUUCCAAUUUAUAUUUUACUUCUUUAAGUCAAAUAAAAAUAGUAUCUCACACUAUUUUUAUUUAUAUUUACUUUUAUAUUAAGAAGUUGGUACAUUAUAUACUAUGAAGCGUUUGAUAGACAUAAAAGGACACCAAAUUUUCAGAGUAUAGUUUAACUAUAUUACAAAAAAAUAGAGUAGAAUAACAAUCAAAGAAAAAAAAUUUUCACUUCUUGGGAUCCCUCACCCGCAAGAUGAAAACUUUAAAUUUCAAAAUUUUAAAUUUUAAAUUCCAACAUAAAAUUUUAAAUUAAAAAAUUUAAAUGAAAAAUUAAAAUUUUUAUAUUUUAAAUUUUAAAUUUAAAAUUUUUAUAUUUUAAAUUUUAAAUUAUAAAUUUCAAAAUUUAACCUAAGUAUUAAAUUUUAAAUUUCAAAAUUUAAACCUAGAUUUUAAAUUUCAAAUUUUAAAUUUUAAAAUUCUAAAAUCUAAAUUUAAAAUUUAAAUUUCAAAAUUUUUAAUUUAAAUUUACAUUUUAAAUUUCAUAUUUUAGAUUUAAAUUUUGAAUUUCAAAAUUUCAAAAUUUUGAAUAUUAAAUACCGAAUAUCAAAUUUUGAAAUUAAAAUUGUUACAUGGUUAAAUUCGUGCUGGGGAUAAAAUUGAUAUUUAAAAAAUAUUGGGUGAUUUUUUGACGGAAAGCUAACCCAAAGAGUAUCUGUGGAUAUUUUUGGUUUUAAGAGAGGUAUUGACGAUAUUUUCUAGUUUAGAGGGUUAUUCAUGUAAUUACGGUUUUUCAAAAGGGUAUUGAUGAAAUUAUCCCUUAAUACAGUGGCAUCUUGGCAAACAACUGAUUAUAUGUGACCAUAACCACAAAUUUGCACCGAAACACUACACAGCCUCAUUCGAUACGUAGCACAGAGGAGAGGGAGAGGGAGAGAUCCAUCCAUAGAGAGAGAGAGAGAGAGAGAGAGAGAGAGAGAGAGAGAGGAAUGGAGCGAGAGAGAGUAGUGCUAGGAGAGGUGUACAAGGAAUGCAUGCGGAACCACGCCGCGAAGCUCGGCACCUACGCCGCCGACGGCUGCUGCGAGUACACCGCCGACGAGGCCCGCCCGGGCUCACUGAGCUGCGCGGCAUGCGGCUGCCACCGCAACUUCCACCGCAAAGUGUUCUUGGACGGCCACCGCCGCCACGACCACCAGCAGCAGCCGGCUGCAGCGCAGACACAGGCGGCUGAGGAGCGUCGACGGCGGUGCCCCGAGGGGAGCAAGCCGCGGCGGGCGAGGACGAAGUUCACGGAGGAGCAGAAGGCCCGGAUGGCGAGCUUCGCGGAGAGGAUCGGGUGGAAGGUACCGAGGAGGGCCGACGGCGGCAUUGGCGGCGAGGAGGCGGGCGACGACGUGACGAGGUUCUGCCUCGAGAUCGGCGUCAGCCGGCAGGUGUUUAAGGUUUGGAUGCACAACCACCGCAGCGGCGGCGGCGGCGGCAGAGGCGGCGAUGGCGCGGCCUCAUCGUCGAUGAGUCAAACGGUGGCUUCCGGGGGCGAUGAAGAGGCCAGUUAAGAAAAUGCUAGAGCCAUCUCCAUGUAGAUUGUAGAUGUAGUAGUAGUAGGAGAGCUAAUUUAUUUGUUCUUAUAAUUGUUAAUCUUCAUCCUUUUAUGGUUUUGUUUUUUUUUUUUUUUUGAGAUUUUAUGACGCAUUUUAAUGGAGAGAAAAAUGAGAGAAAGAAAACAAAAAACUAGGAGUAAAAAAUUAUUUUUAUCGGUCUAAUUUAAAUUUGAGAUGAAGAAAAAUAGAGAGAAUGGGAGAGAAAUGCAUUCCAUCGAUCUUAAUUUCAAAACAAUUAAUCAUGAUAUUUUUUUGGUUUUUAAAAAACAUGACAAAAAUGUUUUUUAUUUUUUUUAUUUUUUUUUUACUUAUGCUAUAUAUUAUGUUACAAACUCAGUUGACCUUUCUCACACAUGCAUAGAUUAAAUUGACCUUCUUGUAGAUGCAGUAUAUAUAUAUAUAUAUAUAUAUAUUUUUUUUUUUUUUUUUUUUUUUUUUUCUUUCAGUGGAUUAAUUUUCUUUUUUUCUUUUUCCUAUUUCUAUUCGGAAGGCCCUUUUAGUAUUGAGGUCCAUUUAAUCCUAAUUAAAAUAAAAACAAAAAAAAGUUGGGGCAAAAGUUUAUAACGAUACACUUUCCUAUUUUCAACAGUAUUGCAGAAAAUAUAUUAUAUGAUAUGUGCAAUAUGAUAUUAUAUACUAUACCAAAUAUAAUCUCUACAUUAUCGCACUACAACAAAAACGGUCUAUAGCGACACUUUUAAAUGUCGGUACAAGUAAAAAAAAGUGCUGGCUAAAUUACCGACACUUUUAAAAAGUGUUGCUAUAUGUGGGGUCGCUAUAUAUAUAGUAAAAAUUAAAGAGUGUCGCUAUAAUCUAAAAAGAGUGCUGCUAAUUUAACAAUACUUAUUUAAGCAUCUAGCAACCGCCAAAACUCUAUUUGUUGGCUGCGGUGGCGGAGGAGUACGAGAGGGAAGGGCCCUUUGUCUAGAAUUUUAGUGGAAUGAGUGAGAGGAGAAGGAAAGAUGGUAAUCGAUUUUUCUUUUUUUUUCUAUUUGUAAUCGGGCCAAAUGGGCUGGGUUGGGUGGGUUGAGUAGAGUAACCUUUUAUUUUUUUUGGAUUCGGCUUUAUAUUUAGACAUUAGUAAAUAUUUUUUUAAAAUUUUGGCAUAAAUAGGAUAUUUAGACAAAAUUGUCCUAUUUAGACAAAAUUGUCCCAAACAUGCACUACAACAGAAUUAGGUUAUAGGGACACAUGCUUGGGACACUUUUGAAUAAGUGUCCCAUUUAUGCUAAAACUUAAAAAAAAUCUACUUAUGCCUAAAUAUAAAGCCCAAUCUAACCAAAAAUAAAAGAUUACUCUACUCAACUCACCACACCCAGUCCAUUUGACCCGAUUACAAACAGAAAAGAAAAAAAAAAAAGGAAAAAUCAAUUACCAUCUUUUCUUCUCUCUUCACUCAAUCCACUGAAAUUCUAGACGAAGAGCCUUUCUUGUCAUCCUCCUCCGCCACCGCAGCCAAAGAGAUAGAGUUUCGGCGGUUGCUAAAUGCUUAAAUAAGUGUUGGUAAAUUAACAGCACUCUUUUAGGUUAUAGCGACACUCUUUAACUGUCACUAUAUAUCUAGCGACCUCACAUAUAGGAACACUUUUUAAAAGUGUCGGUAAUUUUAGCUACCAGCACUUUUUUGACAUGUACCUACAUUUAAAAGUGUCGCUAUAGACCGUUUUUGUUGUAGUGAUGUGUCGUUAUAACCUAAUUUUGUUGUAGUGUAUAUCUCAAAAAGAGCCUUCGAGUGUCUUUGAUUAAUGUUAACAACUCUUUUCGAUUUGUUGCAUUUUUUUUUUUAUGAUUCUAUCACAAUUGACCAGAAAGAGAAAUUGUGCCUUGAAUCUAAUCACAUUACCCUAUACAUAUAUAAUUAAUACAGCAUAAUGCAUUAAUAUGUUGGGAUUAUUAAAACUUUUUAUUCGAUUUAGUUUUGGGAUGUUGGGAUUAUUGAAACUUUUUAUUGGAUUUAGUUUUGGGACAUACUAUUCACCCUGGGGCUCACAUUACCUUAUACAUAUAUAAUUAAUACAGCAUAAUGCAUGAAUAUGUUGGGACUAUUGAAACUUUUGAUUGGAUUUAGUUUUGGGACAUACUAUUCACCCUGGGGCUCACAUUACCCUAUACAUAUAUAAUUAAUACAGCAUAAUGUGUUGGCUUAAAUAGGCCAGCAUUCUAUCCUGUAGCGGGAGGCCAUGUAGGCCGAGUUAUGUUCGAAAUGGCGUGAGGUUGGGUUGGGCUGAGUCAUGUUCGAAGUGGCGUGAGGCUGGUUGGGCCGAAUCACAAUCGAGACUCAUGGCGCUGUAUCUAUACGCUUUAAGUGAAUUGAUUACGUUUUUCUAACAGCUCGAGCUUUUGGGAUUAAUGGUUAGCGCUAACGAUCCGACAAGUGGUAUUAGAGCCAGAGGUCAUAGGUUCAAUUCCCACAUGCUGCAAAUGUGUUCAGGUGCUGGAUUAAAUUGGCUAGCAUCCUGCUUUGUGGCGGGAGGUCAUGUGGGCCGAGUCAUGUUCGAAGUGGCGUGAGGCUAGUUGGGCCGAGUCACAAUCGAGACUCAUGGGUGCUGUUUCUGUACGCUUUAAGCGAAUUGGUUGCGUAUUUCUAACAGCUCGAGCUUUAGGGAUUGAUGGCUAGCGCCAGCGAUCUGACAUAAUGCAUGAAUAUGUUGGGAUUAUUGAAACUUUUGAUUGGAUUUAGUUUUGGGACAUACUAUUCACCCUGGGGCUCACAUUAUCCUAUACAUAUAUAAUUAAUACAGCAUAAUGCAUGAAUAUGUGGGGAUUAUUGAAACUUUUGUUUGGAUUUAGUUUUGGAACAUACCAUUCACCCUGGGGCAUCUACAAGAAGAUCAAAAUUAUGAGAAAUGUUCCAAUACACCAGCCAAUUUAAAUCUGAUCAUUCAAAUUUUUGAGGUUAAGAUUGACUUUUCCAAUCGUAACUUACUUAACAGGUUACCAAUCAAUCGUAAAGAUAAUAUUUGAAAAUAUGUAUUAGCUAAUUACCAAAUUUGAUAAUAUCCAACAAAUUUUCAUUUCUUAAUUUAAUUUUGUUACUUACCAAAUUAGAUAAUGACUAAUUUGAUAAGUGAUAAAUCUUCAUAAAUUUGAAUUUAAAAUCUAACUAGAGUUUAAACUUUAUAUUUAUAAUUGUAUAAAUUAAAUUUAAAUUUUAGAAAAAAAAUUUAAUAUUCAAAUGAGUAAACAUUUCAGCUCAAAUUGUCAAUUCAAUAUUAAACUAACAUGAAAGUUCAAAAAUGUUAAUCUCUUUAAAAUUGUAAUUUAAGUUAUAUUGUAUUUAUAAACUUUUAUUAUUUAUUUAAAUAAAAGAUUUCUACAAUUUAAAAGUAAGUUGAAAUUAUUUAUUCAAUAUUGAAAAACAGCGUUAAAUUUCAUAAAUAUUGAUCAAAUUUAAAUUAUAAAUUUAGAUUUAAUAUAUAUUAUAGUUAAAAAAUAAAUUUUGUUAACUAUUUAAACAUAAAGUUUCAAUGUUUGAAAAUUAAUUUUAAAUUAUAAAUUACUAAAUUUAUGACUUAAUGUCAUCACAAAUUAUUAUUCAAAUUGGCCUUCAAAAUGGGUAAUUCAAUUAAAACCUCAUUCUCUCAACUAUUCAAGGGUAGUAUGAAAAACUUUUCAAUAUUAGUUAUUUAACUUUUUAAUAUUAGCUCUUUCUUUUUCAAAAAAAUCUCUAAAUUUAUAUACCUGGUGAUCGGCACGGCUAGUGCAAUAGCAUGUCAUCUUUUUUUAUGCAUAAAUUUUUAUCCUUUAUUGAUUAAAAAUAAGCAGCUAAAAUUAGAACGAAAUAUCGAAACAUUGCUCCAAAAUUAUUACCAUGCCAAAAACGCCACCUCUAUAUGGAUUAUGAUCUAUUAGAAGGAAACAAACAAAAUCCUUUAGCUAUUUAAGCAAUAAUAAUGUCGCUUUUUAAUUUUUGCCUGCAUUUCAUGCAUGUGGACACGGGGGCAGAGGUCCAUGCAGUGACUUCUUGUCUGUCUACACGUUAUUUCCAACUCACGAGUACUGUGCAGGAAUUUGUCGUCGGAGUUCCUACUAUUAUCUUUAGAAGCAACUAGCGAUGUACCCGUGCUUUGCUACGGGUACAAUAUAAUUAUAUUUAUAAAAUAUAGUAUUCUAUUAAAUAUAUAGAAUCCGGUUGGGAUACUAUCGAUAGCAGCAAAGCAUUUGGUGCUAUCAAGUUUUCCAUCGUUAGAUUUAACCUUUUAACUAUUUUUACUCGUUAGAUUAUACUAUUAAAUUAAUAACUUAACUCUAGAGGGUCUACAUCAUCAUAACCGUAAAUUUUUUCGUCCAAAUGUCGAAAAUCUAAUAGCAUCAAUAAUUUGGUGCUAUUGAUAAUAUUUCAGCAUAAUUCUAAAUAUAUAUAUUAAACACAUAUUUGUAUCAAUAACUAAUUUCACAAUAUUUUAGGUAUUUGAUAGUUUCUAUUUAAAUUCUUGGAGUUCCGUAAACUUUCAAUAAUUUCUGAAGACAAAAGAAAAAAUUUGUAAUACGCUUAUUUUUGUGAGAUCCCCGGUGUACUGUUGUGGAGACUUGUCGGCAGCUCUGGAGAGUGUCGGGACAAGUCCGAGUCGCGUUGGCGUCAAAUAGACACAAAACGGACUCCGUGCGACGCGAGGGCAGUUUAUAGCGAAGAAAUCUACAAAACAGCAGAUUUCUCUGCUUGCUGUAUUGGUACAACCAGCGUGCCUGUACCGGUACAACCAGCGAGGCUGCGCGCAGCACUACAACAGAAUUAGGUUAUAGGGACACAUGUUUGGGACACUUUUGAGUAAGUGUCACAUUUAUCCUAAAACUUAAAAAAAUAUCUACUAAUGCCUAAAUAUAAAGCCCAAUCCAACCAAAAAUAAAAGAUUACUCUACUCAACCCACCAUACCCAGUCCAUUUGGCCCGAUUACAAACAGAAAAGAAAAAAAAAAGAAAAAUCAAUUAUCAUCUUUUUUUCUCUCUUCACUCAAUCCACUGAAAUUCUAGACGAAGAGCCUUUCCUGUCGUCCUCCUCCGCCACAGCACCCAACGAAAUAGAGUUUCGGCGGUUGCUAAAUGCUUAAAUAAGUGUUGGUAAAUUAGCAACAUUCUUUUAGGUUAUAGCGACACUCUUUAACUGUCACUNAAAUAGAGUUUCGGCGGUUGCUAAAUGCUUAAAUAAGUGUUGGUAAAUUAGCAACAUUCUUUUAGGUUAUAGCGACACUCUUUAACUGUCACUAUAUACCUAGUGACGCCACAUAUAGCAACACUUUUUAAAAGUGUCGGUAAUUUUAGCUAGCAGCACUUUUUUGACAUAUACAUACAUUUAAAAGUGUCGCUAUAGACCGUUUUUAUUGUAGUGCAGGUUGCCCUCGGGUUGGCUCUUGUACCGAUACAGGAGCCCGUGUACCGGUAUAAGGGGGUAGGUGAGAAGGUAUUUGAGUAAAUCUCCACCUCGUUUGUAUCAGCAGCUCUCCCUCUCUCUAUAUAGCUUUGUGUAGAGAGAGAGGAGUCCUUUUGCUUCAUCUUCAUCUCUCUCUCACUCUCAUCCGGUUGAAGGCAAAGAAGAAGCUCGGUUGGAAGGUUUGUCGCCGACGUCGCGCCGCGGGACCGUUCGAGCACACUUUUGACAUUGGGGUAGCGCGAGGAGGCCGGGCGAGCGUGGGUUUUCACCGUUCUUACUGUCGCAUCGGUGCUUGGCAUUGUCGAGGUGGGUAAUUCAACAUUUCCAUUUGUUUUUGGGCAAGUUCUUACUAUUUCGAACUCAAGUGAUGCUAUUUUGCUGAAUUUAUCGUCGACUGUUAGUAUUUUAUCUCGUACUUGAUGCAGGAGCAUCGGAUUUUGACGAGAGUUGGUUCGCUGGAUUCGGGACUUCGAGAGGAAUCCACGAAGCCCUUACCUGCAGGAUUUGGUGAAGGUUAUCUUGGUUGAAACUCUGUUUUACUCUGCUGUUGUGGAUUUUGGACUGAAUUGAGAAUUUUCGAUGUUUAUAGUUGGAGAUAGCUCGAUUCCGGGACUCGGAUAUUUUCAGUCGAUCCAGCAGAUUGUUCCGCAGCCGAGGGAGUUCCGUGCUGCCAGGGAUUAGCGACCGAGGUGGGUUAAUCAUCGGCUUACUCCUAAGUGCCUAUAUAGUCAACAUGUAUUAGCGGAAUUCUUUUGCGUGUCGCAAUUGCUCGGUUCAUUGAUUUAGUUUUGUAAUAAUCUGAAUUGGAGCUUAGUCUAUUUAUCUACGCAUAUACAUACAUAUUGGACUUGGAUAAGACUUAGGAGAAAACUUGCGAUUUUAAUCGUCAUAUGUUAAACUACCUGAUUUAGCCCUAGGGGCCGUUGUAUGAUUUUGUACUGUUGCAGUAUCAUCAUAGUGAGUAUUCCAGGUAGAUUAGAAUGUAUUUACGCUCGUGCUGGGAUGCCGAGUGAAUUUUUUUAUAGUAGCUUUCAGGCUGUUCCGGACUGUUGGGGGGCCGUCGGGGUUGACGGUGGACCCGUAUCGCCUUUUUGGUGACAGAUUGUGCCGAAGGCACGUGAUCUAUUAGUUGUUAGACCAGUUAGAGUUGGUUGCUUGAUCUUAGCCUGUGAGAGCAGUACGACCUUGACAGAGACACUUGUAAACUCGGUUGGGUUGCGCCCACGAAUGCCAUUCCGGAAUGAGGUUUCAGUGCGAUGAGUGUCGCAGUUUCUGUUGGACAGUUCUUGAGCCGGCUACCCUCGGGGUGGUGUAUGGCGCAGCUAGAUACAGGCAGGGUGGGUCCGUUUUGGGCAGCCCGGGUGAGAUAGUGAGUGACGCUUUUCCCUACCUUUAGUGAGGUUGUGACGUGAGUGGAGUCUUAGCCGUCCUGUUGGACCUUUUCUGAAACCGACUACUCUUGAGAUACGGUGUAGUCUAAUUAGGCGAGACGGGUGUAUUCACAGUCUUUGGAGAGUUUUCUCCGCCGGUUACUCUUGAGAUACGGUAUAGUCUAGUAGACGAGACGGGUGUAUUCACAGUCUCUAGAGAGUCUUCCCCGCCGGUUACUCUUGAGCUACGGUGUCACCUAAUUAGACGGGAUGGGUGUAUUCACAGUUCCUAGAGAGUUUUCUCCACAAGCUACUCCUGGAGUAGGUUACGGGUUCGAUCCGACAGGCGGGACGGGUGUGUUCACAGUCCCUAGUGAGAUUGAGUCAGUUGUGACUUUUACUACAGUUGGUUAGUGUAGAUCAUGCUAGUGUAGCGAUAUGUAGCUGUAGAUUUUUUUCCAGCUUUUCCUGCUAGCCUUGUUACUUUCUAUAGACUUAGUGGGUGGACCGAUGAUUGUUGAGGGCUGCACCCACUGAGGACUACUUGUUUCUACAGUAGUUCUCACGCCCAUUUGUUACCCCGUUUUUACAAAGCCAUCGUCUUCGGCCGCUGCUGUUGCUGAUCAGGAUAUAGGCAAGGGCGUCACGAAUUAGAGCCCUACCCGAGGAGCAGAGCUAGAGGCACCCCUACUGCAGGUAGAUGUUUUGGUUUGGGUUCAUGUACAUACAGACUUUUAACUCGCCAGCGCGAGUAGUUUUGUACUCUGGGAUUCAGUGUAUGUAUAUGAAACUCGGUUUCUUUUAAUUUACUAGUUCUUCUAGCAGCUCUAUACUACUGUUUGUAGUAUUGUAUAUUUUAUAGGUACAGCUGUCGUUUCGUAUACAGGGAAAAUUCCUUUGUAUACGCUGGAUUUGUCGGCGUGCCCGGGAACGUGUAAUCCGGGACGUGACAGAUUAAGUUGGUAUCAGAGCUUAGCAUUAGGUCGUUGGGACCUAGAGGACCUAAGUUUGGCAAAUCUUAGAAAAGCAAGACGCAAGAGGCGUAAUUUAAUUGCGAAAGUCACUGAUUAGUUGUUCUAACUCCUUCAUGAGUGGGGUGAGUGAUUAAUGGAGUACCUGUUUUGGCCUGAGAAACUAUGUUGGCUGCAGACGACAUAAUUUUGGAGGAAAACAGGGGCUGCCUUCUAGACUUUCGUUGAUUGGGUCGAGAGUGUUUGUGUGUUAUCUGACCCCGUUUUGUUUCUUUCAGAUCGUUGUCGAGGUCGACCGUCGACCAGGGAUCGAGUCGCACCGCUAAAGAUGCCUGACCAGGCAGAGCUGAGUGCACGACCGGAGGCAAGUACACCCCCUGAUUUGAGAGAGCUGUUGGCUGCCCUGACAGAGGUGAUCAAGCAGCAGAGUGUACUAUCGCAGAGGAUUUAUGAGAUUAUCACUCAGUGGUCAGGCGUUGAGACAGGAGCAUUUGUGCAGCAGGCACUCUUGGUGGGAUACGGAGUUACACCCGUCCAGGAGCGGACUGUGGCACUGGGGCAGAGCCAAGACAGGAAGUGUCAUUUUCCAGAUGAUGGAGGACAAGCGAGUAGCAGACGUCCGCUGAGGCUUUCUCGAUCUUGCUCUCAGGGUCGUAGUUCAUCGGGGCGUCAGCAUUCCAGGGGAUUGCUUCAGCAGGGACCGUCACCGAGGACGCUGCGGUGCGUGAUUUGUGGAGGACCACACUGGCCCCGACAAUGUGAGCAAAAAGAGGGCCACUGCUAUACUUGUGGACAGCCAGGAUAUGUGAGGUCACCGUGUCCUAGAGCUACAUUUCCAGCACUAUCCAUUACAUCAGCGUAGCCAGCUGACCAGUAGACUUUUGGAGCACCACCGAGUUACCGCCGGGAGGACUCUUCAGCAGCCGAUCGUGUAGUAGCAGGUAUCACUUUGAUUUUCGGCAUUUGUACUCGUACUUUAGUUGGUACCGGUGCCUCGCAUUCUUUUGUUAGCCGAGCAUUUGCAUUGUUGCAUGGUCUAGAGUUAGGGUCAUUGUCUUUGGCACGAGAGAUGCAUAUCCCCGACCAUGUUUUACAGGUUGCAGAGUGUUGUUGGUCGUGUCCGGUGCAGUUAGAUUCGUGGUUUAUGCCCGCAGAUCUGUUGGUGUUAGAGCAGCUGCAGGACUUCGACAUCGUGCUCGGUAUGGAUUGGCUGGCGUGGUACUAUGCUACGAUAGACUGUGGAGCGAGGACGGUGACGUUCUGCGAGCCAGGCCAGGAGGAGUUUACGUUCGGAGGCUGCAGGAGUACGUUGUUUGCCACAUGGAUAUCUUCGGCGAGGGCUCGACAGAUGCUGAGUAGUGGGUGUAUCGCUUUUCUAGCGACAGUUGUAGAGGUACCUACGGCGGCGCCGGGACUCGAGGAUAUCCCUAUAGGCUGCGAGUUUCCGAAUGUAUUUCCCCCUGAGUUGACUACGUUGCCGCCGAAGAGGGAGAUUGAGUUUAUGAUUGAUGUAGUUCCUAAAACUGCACCAAUCUCGAAGGUACCUUAUAGGAUGACGCCAGUAGAGCUAAGAGAGCUAAAGGCGCAGCUGCAGGAUUUGAUGAUAGAGGGUUUGUGAGACCCAGUAUUUUCGCCUUGGGGGGCGCUGGUGUUGUUUGUGAAGUAGAAGGAUGGUUCACUUAGGCUGUGUGUGAAUUACCGGGAGCUGAAUAAAGUGACCAUCAAGAAUAUGUAUCCCUUACCACAUAUUGAUGAUUUGUUUGAUCAGUUGCAGAAAUCUUAUGUCUUUUCGAAAAUUGAUCUCCAGUCAGGUUACCACCAGUUGAGGGUGAGGGCAGAGGAUGUUCCCAAGAUGGCUUUUUGGACUCGGUACGGGCAUUAUGAGUUUACAGUGAUGCCUUUUGGAUUGACAAAUGCCCUUGCUGCAUUCAUGGAUUUGAUAAACAGAGUGUUCAAGCCGUUCUUGGAUAAGUUUGUGGUAGUCUUCAUCGACGAUAUCCUGAUUUACUCCCAGAGCGAUGCUGAGCAUGAGGAGCAUUUGAGAAUUGUGCUACAGCUUCUGCGAGAGAAGAAGUUGUAUGCCAAGUUGAAGAAGUACGAGUUCUGGUUGUGGGAGGUGCUUUCUUGGGCCACGUGAUUUCAGCUGAGGGCGUAGCAGUGGACCCGAAGAAGAUUGAGGCGAUUCGAGAUUAGCCUAGACCGACGACGAUGACUGAGGUACGGAGUUUCCUAGGACUGGCAGGAUAUUACCGUCGGUUUGUGGAAGGCUUUGCGAAGCUUUCCACGCCCCUCACACGCUUGACGCGGAAGGGAAUUCGAUUUGUCUAGAGUGACGACUGUCAGAGGUGCUUUGACGAGUUGAGACUGAGGUUGACAUCGGCUCCUAUCCUUACCCUUCCGGUGAUGGGGGAAGGAUUCGUGAUCUUCAGUGAUGCAUCGCACAGUGGACUUGGCUGUGUGCUGAUGCAGUAUGGUAGGGUAAUUGCUUAUGCUUCACGGCAGUUAAAGGAUUAUGAGAAGAAUUACUCUACGCAUAAAUUGGAGCUUGCCGCGGUGGUAUUUGCUUUGAAGUUCUGGCGGUAUUACUUGUACGGCGAGCACUGCGAGGUCUUUACUAAUCAUAAAAGUCUCAAGUGUCUGUUCACACAGCGGGAGCUGAACCUGAGGCAGCGCCGGUGGUCGGAGUUACUGAAGGACUAUGAUAUUAGUAUUCAGUAUCAUCCCGGCAAGGCGAAUGUUGUGGCAGAUGCGUUGAGCAUGAAGUCAGUGCAGAGCCUGAGUUUGACGAUCACUGAACAGAGACCCCUACUCGAGGAGCUACAGCGGCUGGGACUCGAGAUAGUACCUCCUGGUUCUACGGCGAGGCUGACGUCUCUAGUUUUGCAGCCCACUCUGUUGGAUAGGAUCCGAGAGAAACAUAGUGGAGAUCCGUACUUGUUGAGGAUUAGAGAGUAGCUAGACAGAGGGCAGGCUGAGGGUUUUGCUGUGAACAGUUCGGAAGUACUGCGGUACAGGGACCGACUGUGCGUGCUUGUGGAUUCAAAGAUUCGAGCAGACAUUCUGAGAGAGGCUCCUUGUUCUCCUUAUACGGUUCACCCUGGGGGAACCAAGAUGUAUAAGGAUUUAAAGGCACAGUUCUGGUGGCAUGGAAUGAAGAGGGACAUUGGCAGAUAUGUGGCUCAGUGUUUGACUUGCCAACAGGUGAAGGCCGAGCAGCAGAUACCUGCUGGCAAGCUUCAGAGUCUGCGAGUGCCAGAGUGGAAGUGGGAGUACAUCACGAUGGAUUUUAUCGUGGGAUUGCCUAGAGCACAGAGUGGUUGUGAUGCCAUUUGGGUGAUAAUGGACAGACUGACCAAGUCUGCUCACUUCCUACCAGUUCAGACUAUCUGGUCCAAAGAGAGACUCGCGCAGCUAUACCUGGAUGAGAUCGUCAGGCUCCACGGCGUGCCAGUGUCGAUUGUGUCAGACAGAGACCCGAGGUUUGUAUCCCAGUUUUGGAGGAGCCUUCAGACAGCCUUGGGCACUCAACUGCAUUUCAGCACGGCGUUCCACCCACAAAUUGAUGGUCAAUCAGAGAAGACCAUACAGACUCUAGAGGACAUGCUGAGGGCAUGCGUCUUGGAUUUUGGAGGAGGGUGGUAUCGACAUGUGAGACUAGUUUAGUUUGCGUAUGACAACAGCUAUCAAACGAGCAUUCAGAUGGCUCCGUUUGAGGCGUUGUAUGGACGUAGAUGUCGAUCCUCUCUGUUUUGGAGUGAUGUGGGUGAGAGGAGGACACUUGGACCGGAGAUUCUACUUGAGGCUGAGGAAAAGGUGAGAGUCGUUGACGACACCUUUUGACAGCACAGAGCCGCCAGAGGAGCUACGUCGAUACCAGGAGACGAGACUUGAAGUUUCAGGUUGGAGAUCAUGUUUUCCUCAAAGUCUCGCCGUCCAGAGGGAUACGCUGAUUUGGGGUACGUGGAAAGCUCAGUCCACGGUUUGUUGGUCAUUUCGAGGUAUUGGAGCGAGUUGGACCGGUUGCAUACAGGAUAACUCUACCCCCGCGAUUUGCUGGCAUACACGAUGUUUUCCACGUCUCAGUAUUGAGGAGAUACGUUUUCGAUCCCUCUCACGUAAUCGACUUCACUCCACUAGAGAUUAGCGAGGAUCUGAGAUACGAGGAGCAACCGUUGCGGAUUCUUGCUCGGGAGACGAAAGAAUUGCGCAAUCAGGUCAUUCUGUAUGUGAAAGUGCAGUGAAGCGAUCACGAGGAACGGGAGGCGACUUGGGAGCCUGAGACGGGGAUGAAGGAGGCAUAUCCCUAGUUGUUUGAUGCCUGAGCUGAGGUGUACUUAAGUUUCGCGGACGAAACUUUUUGUAGAGUGGAAGGAUGUGAGAUUCCCGGUGUACUGUUGUGGAGGCUUGUCGGCAGCUCUGGAGAGUGUCGGGACAAGUCCGAGUCGCGUUGGCGUCAAAUAGACGCAAAAUGGACUCCGUACGACGCGAGGGCAGCUUAUAGCGAAGAAAUCUGUAAAACAGCAGAUUUCUCUGCUUGCUGUACUGGUACAACUAGCGUGGCUGUACCGGUACAACCAGCGAGGCUGCGCGCAGGUUGCCCUCGGGUUGGAUCUUGUACCGGUACAGGAGCCCGUGUGCCGGUACAAGGGGGUAGGUGAGAGGGUAUUUGAGUAAAUUUCCACCUCGUUUGUAUCAGCAGCUCUCCCUCUCUCUAUAUAGCUUUGUGUAGAGAGAGAGAGGAGUCCUUUUGCUUCAUCUUCAUCUCUCUCUCACUCUCAUCCGGUUGAAGGCAAGGAAGAAGCUCGGUUGGAAGGUUUGUCGCCGACGUCGCGCUGCAGGACCGUUUGAGCACACUUUUGACGCCGGGGUAGCGCAAGGAGGCCGGGCGAGCGUGGGUUUUCGCCGUUCUUGCUGUCGCAUUGGUGCUUGGCGUUGUCGAGGUGGGUAAUUCAGCAUUUCCAUUUGUUUUUGGGCAAGUUCUUACUACUUCGAACUCAAGUGAUGCUGUUUUGCUGAAAUUCAUCGUCGACUGUUAGUAUUUCAGCUCGUACUCGACGCAGGAGCAUCGGAUUUUGACGAGACUUGGUUCGCUGGAUUCAGGACUUCGAGAGGAAUCCACUAAGUCCUUACUUGCGGGAUUUGGUGAAGUUUAUCUUGGUCGAAGCUCUGUUUUACUCUACUGUUGUGGAUUUUGGACUGAAUUGAGGAUUUUUGAUGUUUAUAGUUGGAGAUAGCUCGAUUUCGGGACUCGGACAUUUUCAGUCGAUCCAGCAGGUUGUUCAGCAGCCGAGGGAGUUCCGUGCUGCCAGGGAUUAGCGACCGAGGUGGGUUAAUCAUCGGCUUACUCGUAAGUGCAUAUAUAGUCAACAUGUAUUAGCGGAAUUCUUUUGCGUGUCGCAAUUGCUCGGUUCGUUGAUUUAGUUUUGUAAUAAUUUGAAUUGGAGCUUAGUCUAUUUAUCUAUGGAUAUACAUACAUGUUGGACUUGGAUAAGACUUAGGAGAAAACUUACAAUUUUAAUUGUCAUAUGUUAAACUACCUGAUUUAGCCCUAGGGGCUGUUGUAUGAUUUUAUACUGUUGCAGUAUCAUCAUAGUGAGUAUCCCAGGUAGAUUAGAAUGUAUUUACGUUCGUGCUGGGAUGCCGAGUAAAUUUUUUUAUAGUAGCUUUCAGGCUGUUCCGGACUGUUGGGGGCCAUCGGGAUUGACGGUGGACCCGUAUAGCCUUUUUGGCGACGGAUUGUGCCGAGGGCACGUGAUCUAUUAGUUGUUAGACCAGUUAGAGUUGGUUACUUGACCUUAGCCUAUGAGAGCAGUACGAACUUGACAGAGACACUUGCAAACUCGGUUGGGUCGCGCCCACGAAUGCCAUUUCGGAAUGAUGUUUCAGUGCGAUGAGUGUCGCAGUUUCUGUUGGACAGUUCUUGAGCCGGCUACCCUCGGGGUGGUGUACGGCGCAGCUAGAUACAGGUAGGGUGGGUCCGUUUUGGGCAGCCCGGGUGAGAUAGUGAGUGAUGCUUUUCCCUACCUUUAGUGAGGUUGUGACGUGAGUGGAGUCUUAGCCGUCCUGUUGGACCUUUUCUGGAACCGACUACUUUGAGAUACGGUGUAGUCUAAUUAGGCGAGACGGGUGUAUUCACAGUCUUUAGAGAGUUUUCUCCGCCGGUUACUCUUGAGAUACGGUGUAGUCUAGUAGACGAGACGGAUGUAUUCACAGUCUCUAGAGAGUCUUCUCCGCCGAUUACUCUUGAGCUACGGUGUCAACUAACUAGACGGGAUGGGUGUAUUCACAGUCCCUAGAGAGUUUUCUCCACCAGCUACUCCUGGAGUAGGUUACGGGUUCGAUCCGACAGGCGGGACGGGUGUGUUCACAGUCCCUAGUGAGAUUGAGUCAGUUGUGACUUUUACUACAGUUUGUUAGUGUAGAUCAUGCUAGUGUAGCAAUAUGUAGCUAUAGAUUUCUUUCCAGCUUUUCCUGCUAGCCUUGUUACCUUCUGUAGACUUAGUGGUGGACCGAUGAUUGUUGAGGGCGGCACCCACUAAGGACUACUUGUUUCUACAGUAGUUCUCACGCCCAGUUGUUAUCCCGUUUUUGCAGAGCCUUCGUCUUCGGUCACUGCUGUUGCUGAUCAGGAUCUAGGCAAGGGCGUCGCGAAUUAGAGCCCUACCCGAGGAGCAGAGAUAGAGGCACCCCUACUGCAGGUAGAUGUUUUGGUUUGGGUUCAUGUACAUAUAGACUUUUAACUCGCCAGCGCGAGUAUUUUUGUACUCUGGGAUUCAGUGUAUGUAUAUGGAACAAGGUUUCCUUUAAUUUACUAGUUCUUCUAGCAGCUCUAUUCUACUGUUUGUAGUAUUGUAUGUUUUACAGGUACAGCUGUCGCUUCGUAUACAAGAGAAAUUCUUUUGUAUACGGCGGAUUUGUCGGCGUGCCCGAGGAACGUGUAAUCCGGGGCGUGAUAAUUUUUAGGCCAGUUUGUCCAAAAAAUAACUAUCCUUUUUUUUGUAUUCUUUUUGAAUUUUUAUUCUUCUAACUCCAUUCGGAUUAUUUUUUUGUCGAAGCAUGCAAGCAAUAUUGAGAAUUGAAAAUAUUACGAUAAAAUAAAAAGUAGUUACUUGAUUUGUAGAUUUUUAAUUGACUGACUUUAUAAUUUUUUUUUGAAUUUAUGAACAUAUAUUUCAAUUUUAUAAGAAAUUUUUAUAUUUAGCACAAUUAUGCACUGACUUGAAAAAAUUAGAUAUAAUUUGUUCUAAAAUUUGGACUAAUAAUAAAUAAAUAACAAAAAAAUAGAGAAGUACUCUAAUUGGUUUAAUAGUUGGGCAAUGAAGCAAAACAAUUUAGAAAAAUAGCUCAAAAUUUUCUAUAGUUUAGGAUUUAGAAUUUUAAAAUUUGAAGUUGAAAAUUUGAAAGUAAAUUAAAAUAUGUUGAGGGUAGGAUCUAACUAGGGGGUGGACAUAUGAUUCAAAGGGGUAAGAGUCUAUUAACGGUAGAAAACUCAAUAGUACCAACGGGCUUGCAUACAUAUCAUUAUACAUUAUAGUAGCUGGAUAACGUAUAUAUAUAGUAUUUAUAGUAUAUAUUAUAUAUAUGUAUAUAUAGUAUUAUAUAUAUAUAUAUUUGUAUAUAUAUAUAUAUAAAAAUUGCAGCUAGUAAUACUUUUUUAGAGCACCAACCCUUGGUGCUUUUAAGUUUCUAGCCUUUGCGAUCUACUCCUUGAUACUAAUAGCCUUAUUGAUCAAUACACUAUUCACACUACCCACCUACCGACCUUAUCAUUUCUCACUCACAUUUCUCCAUCAAAUGUGUUAAAAACUCAAAAGCACCACCUUUGCAUGGUGCUUAUUGGAUGAGUAUUCUAGCUCAACUCUCUCUCUCUCUCUGUCUCUCUCUCAUCUCUCGUCUCUCUCGUUCGAUAUAUAGUACGUAGUAUAGUAUAUAUAUAGGUAUAGUAUAUAUAUAUAUAUAUUGUCAUGCCCCGGAUUCCUCGUUUCUCCGGACACGCUAACAGACCCGUCAUAUAUAUAGGAAUUUUGCCUGUAUACGAAGCGUAGCUGUACUUGUAAUUGUAAUCAUACAACACUACAACCAGUAAUGUAGAGCUACUAGAAGGAUAUAAAACAUAUAUAAUAAUAGUGGUUCAUUACAUAUAUAGCAUCCUGGUACAAAAAUAUACGCUACAGCGAGGUACAACAAAGUAUGUAAAGAACAAAAAACUACAACUACCUAUAGCUGGAACUCCUCUAGCUUUGCGACUCGUCUGGAAGGGCUCUAACUCGCAACACCCUUUGCACGAUCAGUAUCAAUAGUAGCAGUAGCCGCAACCGAAGGCUCUGCACAAAUCCACAACUGGGUGUGAGAACUACUGCAAAAAGAAGUAGUCCUCAGUGGGUACCGGUACCGACCUCAACGGCUCACCCACUAAGUCUACAGAAGGUAUAUUCAAUGAUAGUAAAGGAACUGGAAACAAUCUACAGCUACAUGCCAC
This 64509-nucleotide long non-coding RNA is filed under the name Ananas comosus (pineapple). RNAcentral's name for it is "long non-coding RNA (ACOM_LNC001158)". Lineage: Eukaryota; Viridiplantae; Streptophyta; Magnoliopsida; Poales; Bromeliaceae. The record is from RNAcentral.